RNAcentral lists this long non-coding RNA (61408 nucleotides) under Citrus maxima (pomelo). RNAcentral describes it as "long non-coding RNA (CMAX_LNC001905)". Lineage: Eukaryota; Viridiplantae; Streptophyta; Magnoliopsida; Sapindales; Rutaceae. The record is from RNAcentral.
AACCAUCAAGUGUUUGUGCUCCGCAAACAAAGCUACCAUAGCUCGUACCGUAUACAUCAGAUUUAUGAUCUUGUGCAACUGAAGUAGAUUUGGCCCCUUGAAUCUUCCACCCUUUGUGCUGCUCACAUCUCACUCUUCCUUUAACAGGUUGCCUGGUGCAGAAUGUCCCACCCCCUAACUCCACCCCACAUAUGGUAUCAUAUUGCAAUUUGGCUUUAGAUUGUACCCUUCCUUGUCUAUACAUUUCGGGGAAAUUUAAAGUACCAGAAACAUUGGAAUCAACAUACGCAUCAUGCCCAUAUUGUGAUGAUCCUGUUGACUUGGAAUUUGAUCCACAAUUUUUUCUCCGAUUUUGCUCUUCGCCCUCACUAACAGAGCAUUUUUGGGCCACCAUUGGUUGCUUCGUAGGGUCAACGUCACACACUUUGGCUUUCCCUUUCAUUGUCAAUGUUGAUGCUCUGAUCCUCAUACCUCUGUGUUCAAUGCACCUCUUUCUUUGUUCAACAGGUGGCAUUUGACAAACAGAACCAUCACCUAAGGAAACCCCACAGAUACCUGUAUGGCCCUCAUCAGCACCGUAUCCAUCAAAAACAAGCCUAGGCUGUGAUUUGGUAAACUUAAUAAUUUGAGGCAAGAAAUUGUGACCCUGUAGGCUUGCAUUGAUUUUGAUGUCUGCUGGCUUUUGAUUGAAACGUAAGAGAUUCCUGAUAGUUUUCGGAAACUGAAUAUUGUUUGAAGCAACUUCAUCGAGUUUCCGGCGGACAUCAGCAUGGCGACGUUUGCCGUUGUUGCCUUUGUUCCACGCAUAAUCAAAUUUAUCGAGAAUCUUUCUUUCUGUUUUCUCAGCAUCUUCCUUGUUUUUCAUCUGUCAAACAUUGAGGUGGGAGCAUAAGAAGAAAACAAAUCAAAUUUCAGAAAUCGUAUGCCAAACUUUGCAAGCAGGCCCUACUUCAAUAAUGUAUAUCCGUGACUUAACCAGAACCACUCAAAUGCGAUGAGCUUAUACAUAAAUGCAAACGAUUGUUUCUCUAUUCAUUACAAUUGAAAUGCAAACGAAUCUGAAGAGAACUUAGUCGUGUUAUCCCCUUGGUCAGUUCGCAAGUCUUGAUCGUUCCAGAAUGUGAGGGAACUUUUUGAUUUAUGGUGCCUUGACUAAGCCCAGUUUCAGUUGGUAGUUAGUACCAGCGAAAGAAUAUGCAAUAUGAGAUAAUUCAGAAUGUAGCACUCAAGAUAGGAAUGGACACCAGUCACGCCACAAAAUCUAUUUGACAAUCUCCAUACAGACUUCAAGUAUCUCUCUACGUGAAUUUAUGCCUUGUCUAUCAACCAAACAUAUAGAACCAAAUAUAUUGAAGCAACUCAAAACUCACUUACAGGUGCCGAUCUGUACACAAUGGAAUAGCCUCUGCGGAAUAUAUCCUCAAAAUAUCGGCCCGAGUCACUGCCACUAUUCAAGUGAGCACCAGUACGGCCAUAGGCCUGGAGUCUUGCUCGGACACUCUCAGCUUGUCCAACGUAAACCACAAUUACCCCAGCGCCCGGUACAGCUAUUCCAAGCUCAUAGAGUCCAGGACCCGUGUCAUUCGGAAGGUUAUGAACCUUGUAUCUUUCCGCUCCUUCCUUCCCAUGUGAAUGAUUUUCCCAAUCUGACAGUCCAACAAGUUCCUGAAAUAAACUUACACAGAACAAGCACAAAAGUGAAAUCACUACACCAGUAACAAUAAUUUCUCUCACAAGAUUUUUAGUUUUCAAUGCUAGUAAGUAUUAACCUUCCAUUUAGAGAAUUGGGAGUCAUGAUUGGUUCGCUCGCAGUCUUCUCUUUGAAUCCUAGCUAUAAUGGCCAACAGAGCUGCUUCCAUUUUCUCAAUGAUCUGCCCAUGGCAAGGCAAGACUGUUGCAUAUUUAAUUUGCACCUUUUAACACUGAGGGUGACGCGACAUUUUAACGAAAGGACCAGAUUGCCCAUCAAUCAAAGCACUUGCUAUGUAACUGUUAAGUCUGUGACUGCCUUGUCGGACUCCACUUACCAAAUGGAAACUUGGUGACGAAGGAGUCAGAGAAUCUUCGUUAUCUUAUCUUUGUUGAAUCAUAGGCACUGGCUUUAAUUUAGUGAUUGUGAAAGAAAGAGAGUCCUUUACCGCUUCAUUCACUGCACAGUUGAAUUAUAGGCACUGCCUAAAGGAAAUAAAGGUCUUUUAAUCCGAAAAAACAAUUGUCACCUUGCUUUUUUUUUUUUUUUUUUUGUAUUUUUAAUUUUUCUACCAUUAUAUUACAAAUGUUCUCAACAACAGCCUCUACGGGAUUCUCAUCUCCUUUCACAAACACGUGGGAUAAGAGUAGAUUUCUCUUUAAUAUUAUUAAUUAGAAUAAAUUUCGAACUAAUCUCUACCACGUUUAAUGAAAUGUAAAAAUACACUGAUUACUAGAGUUGAAAAAUAAAAGCUAAAAACUAAGAAUAUAAAUUGAGAAAAUCAUAAAGUCAGAUAAUAUUGCAGCCAAUUUGUGUAUCAUAUAUUUCAGCUUAUUAUCUUAACUUAUUAUACCAUGAUAUUAAAAAUUCCAUGCCCUUUUGACAAGUAAUACCGAGUAUAAUGCACUUCUCUGUCCUAAUGCUAUGCGAACAGUUAUUGAUGCUUUUACUUUAGAAAAGUCAGUCCUUAUUUGUCCUAUUAGUGGCCCUUGAGCUUUUUUCUUUUAUUUUUUUUUUCUUUUGGGAUAAGGACCCUUGAGCUUAUCAUUUAAGGUACGAACAUAAAAUAAGAAUAACUUUAAAAUUUAAAAAAAAAAGAGGAAUAAUUUUUAAAUGGAUAGAGCCUUUUUUUUUUUUUAAGAGAAUCAUUGUUUAUGAUAUUUACACCAUAUAAAUUAUUGAGAUCUGUUUAUAUCAAUUAUGAUAUGGUAUCGCUUAGAUUUUUAACCCUCUUAAAUAUUCGAGGGACGUCCAACUCUUAUUUUGAGAGAAAGACUGCCUUUACUCAAGUUCUAGGACUUCAAGGAAGGACAUUUAAAUUAAACCCCCGCAAUGCGUUUGCGGGGGCUCGAACCACUUCCCUCACAAUUGUGAGGGAGUGGCUCUAUCCACUUGGGCUAAGCCCAAGUGGUUAAUGGAUAGAGCUAUUUGAAUCCACUAAAUUAUUAUGAAUUUUAUAUUACUAAAACGGCCAUGAGUGAGUUAAGGAAAAAAGAUUUGUCUAACUAAAAUAAUUACUGGUUAAAAAAAAGACUUAUCUUUUUUUUUUUUUGAUAAAAACCACCAAGGGGUGGGGAUUAGGUGAGACGCUUACCUAUAAUAUAAAUCAGUAAUGAAAUAAAUACAAAAAGAGGGAGAUAUAAAUUAAAAUCUCCUAAAAUAAAUGUAAAUAUACAAGAAUAAAGGAGAAGAAUAAAAUCAUCAAAAGAAAAAAAAAGUCAUUAAUGCAAGCAUAUGACAAUGACUUAUCUUCUUCAAUUAGCGGGAGAAUUUUCGUAAGAUUUUAAUAUAGUAAAAACAAAGAAUGCAAGAAAACUGAGCUUAUCACCACCAAUCUCCAUUUUUUAAUCCCACUAAUUUUCAUUUAUUAGUAGUUUAUUAAAUAAAUCAUCAAACCUUUUUAAAAUUUCUAUUAUAACAUUAAUAUUUUAACAAAAGAUUAUUAUGUCUUUUUUUUUUAUAAACCCUAAUAUGUAAGCAAUUGGAUAUUAUAUCACCACUAUAAUUAAAUUACCCCAUGAUUAUUGUAUGUUCUCUACAAUAUCAAAGUUUUGAUCCAAUAAGUUCAUAUUAUUUAUAUUUUACUUUUAUUUUUUAUUAUAAGAUCCAACAAGAUUUGCAUAUGAUUACAUAAAUUUUGUUUGAACUAAGAACAAUUUCACAUGAAAGUUAACCAUGAUUUUUAAAAUCAGUUUCACAACCAUGGCUUUUAACAUUCAAUCUAUUUAUAUUUUUUCUAUAGUCAUAGUGUUUAUUGCAACAAACUUAACAUAAAUGUAAUGGAUAUUACUUUUUUAUUUUAUUUGAAUUAUAUAUUAGUAUAAAUAUUGCAACCAAUUUGUGUAUCAUAUAUUUCAGCUUAUUAUCUUAACUUAUUACGCUAUGAUAUUAAAAGUUCCAUGCUCCUCUUGGCAAGUAAAACCGAAUACAACGCACAUAUCUGUCCUAAUGCUAUGCCAAUAAUUCUUGAUGCUUUUACUUUAUAAAGGACAGUCCUUGUUUGUCUUGUUUGGACCCUUUCUUUUUCCCCGGAUAAGGACCCCUAGCUAAAAUGAGAGUAACUUUAGCUUUAAAAAAAUAAGAGGAAUAAUAUUUUUUAAAUGGGUGGACCUAUUUGAAUCAACUAAAUUAUUGUAAAUUUUAUAUUAUUAAAAUGGCCAUGAGUGCGUUGACUUUUAAGGGAAAAAGAUUUGUCUAACUAAAACAAAUAAAAUUCACUUACCAGUAAAAAAAAAUUACUUAUCUUUUUAAAAAAAAAAAUAAAAAUCACUAAGAGAUGGAGGUUAGGCAAGACUCCUAUUUAUAAUAUAAAUCAAUAAUGAAGCAAAUACAUGAGAGAGAUAUGAACCAAGACCUUCUAAAGUAAAUGUAAAUAUAUAAGAAUAAAAAGAGAAUAAUAAAAUUAUUAAAAAAAAAAGCCAUCAAUGCUGGCGUCUGAAAAUGACUUAUCUUCUUCAAUUAGCGAGAGAAUUUUUUGUAAGAUUUUACCAUGGUAAAUGACACGACUCAAAAGUGUAUUACUUCCAAGUAUAAUAGUGUCUAGUUGUAAUUUAACCCGGUGAGUCCGAGGUCGAACCAUAGAGAAUUUUAAAUCUAGUAGUCAAUUUAAAACUAAGAAAAUUAAUUGUGGGGAAAAGAAAUUAUUUGAAAUCAAUUUAAAAAUAUGCUAAGGUCUCGAUCCACUCUUUGUAUUCAAACUAUAAUUUUAAUACUCUCUCAUUUAUAUUUUGUCUCACUUUUACCAGUUAAUUAUUAUAUCAUUUAAUUCUAUGUGUGUGGAUAAAUAUGGAAUAAAGUACCUAAUGUGCCAUACUAUAUUAAUAUGUCGACAUUAUGUCAAAAUACCAUACAGAUCCAAAGAAAUUUGUAAAUUAACAUGAUAUAAAAAUAAUUAGAAAAGAAUAAAAUAAACUUAAAAACUCAUUUGAGAAAAUAAUAAUAAUAAUUAAUAGUUUGAAACAUUGAGCUUCACCCUUCACCUCAACUUAAUAAAAUUAGCCACUCAUAUUAAAAGAAAACACAACACUCUUUUUAUUUGAUAAACUUUCUGAAAUAUAUUAUAAAAAAAAUUGAUACAGAUGAAAACAAGAAAAUAAAAGAAACAAAGAAAGAAAGAAAUUCUUCCGUCCCCUUUUGGCUACAACAAAAACUCGGCUUAAACUCCUUAAAGGCCACAUUACGUGACAAAUUGUCAAUUAGUCUUAGUAAGAAGCUUAUCUAUUGACACUCCAAGCGACAUCACAUUUCCGUACUGAAUAAAUGGCAUCAACGACUGACAUAUUAGUCACUAAAACAUAUGUUUUUGCCACUAAAUAAUACAAUCACCAUAUAUGGCUGAAACAUUUUUCAAACGAAUGAUUAUUUUUUUCUAUCAUCAUUAACUUUGUACGACUAAAUGGUUUAGUCAUCCAAUACGCUUUUAAGUGACAAAUUUAUAUUUAGUCACAGAUGGUAUACAUUUAUUAUGGGAAUUUGGUUUAGAGAUCAACAUAUUUAGUUGCAAUCGGGGUGCUUAAACAACUAAAACAAACAAUCACUGAAUAUAAUCAAAUCAAGUGUAGAAAAUGUGGUGACUAAUAUUGUUAGUUACAUAUUGGAAUAUAAUGGGAGACUAUUCUAAGAGUUAUUCACCUUAAGAUGAUAUUUAUUUAUUUGCUUUCCUUGUCUAAAUGACAUUAUCGCAAUAAAGAUUAUGGAGCGACUAUAGCUUACAGUCACCAAAUAAAAUUUAAAUAUGUUACAAAAGAAAAAAAAUAGUGUUUCUGUAUUGUUCGGUGGCUAAUUUUAGUCGUCACUAUAUCAAAGUAUUUUCAAUUAGGUUGAGAAAACAUAGUGCGACUAUUUUUCUUAGUCACAAUGUGAAAUAAAUUUGGUGACUAAUGUUAAAUUAGUUACUUAAGAAGAAGCAUAUUUUGGCGCCUCCUCUUUGCACCGUAAUUAUAUUUGGCACCCAUCUACAAAAAUAGAAGACGAAAAUUUUGAAUUAAUAUAAGAAUGGAGAUGGUAUACUUUCUAGUGCUUAAUACACUUUUUGGAGUUCAUUUCUUGUUCCUUUUAUAUUAGUUUUGUUAUCUUAUUUAUUUUGUCUGGACUCUUUAUCAUGGAAUUAUUGAUAUUUUGAUACGUGUUUGUAACAAAAUAUUUUAAUUUAGUUAAUUUGGGUUUAUAGAGCCAAUUCUGAAGAAGAAUGUUCAUGGAAAAUCCAGGGAGUUGGUUGUGAAUGCAGUUUACAUUUGUCUAAAAACAAGUUGAAUGUGGACUUUGAAGUUGAGGAUAGAAGACCCACUGGCACUUAUUCAUCUAGGUUAUCCACUGAAAUAGUCAUUGUUGUGAGGACUUUUGCACCGUUAAAAGUUGAUCAAUUGAGACAAGUACCUCUUGAGAAAAAGAAGGAGAUGUUUGCUCGAGUGGAGGUAAAUCUCUUCUAACUUUUAAACUCAGUAAAAAAAUUAUUUUAGUAGCUGAUUUAUUAUUUUAAUUCCUUAUGAUGAUCAUAGAUCAAAUUUGACAUCGAGACCAACUAACCACAUGUUAUAAGAUUCCUUAAUGGUGCAAUGGCACGUAGAUUCAAAGGUUUCAAGUACUUCUUGAAGAAAAAUUUCACGGAAUAUUCUAAUUUAGCCGAAGCACUACAAAAUCGCCCUGAAGAAGUUUUUAAUUAAGAAGAUUGGGAUUACCCUUGUACAUGCUUUGACAAUGAUCCAUUCAAGGUUAAAAGAAAAAUAUGUCAUAUAUUUCAUAAUUUUUGGUAAUUUCUAAUAUAUGUUUUCUAUUCUACUUGUAGCAACGAUCCAAAAUUUAUGUUGAAAAUCACAAGAAACUAAAAUAUGGCCAUCAAGGUGGAUCCAAGCCUUUUGUACAACAUCAAAAGGAAAUUGUAUAGGAAAUAUUUUAUAAAUUUUAUUUUCAAAUGAUUUAUAAUUGAAUUUAAUAAUUUCUUUUGAUAUUGUAUAUUAUAGGCUAAAAGACUUGGACACACUCUAGGACCAAUUUCUUUGUUUCAUGACACCCAUUGGAGUGCAAGUAAAGAUUGGAGCAAUGAUGAAGCUAGAGAAAGAUAUGUAAGUUUAUUCGUUGCACUUAUCCAGCAUAGAUUAAUAAAUAAUCUCAAUUUAGAUGUGAUUUCUAUAUUUAAUCACUUCAUGAAAAAUUUAUGUCAGCUUCUUGUUGAAGAAAUGAAUUAAAAUUUUUUUAUUGUUAAUCUUCUUUGAGCAAUUUGGGAUUAUUUUAUAUGUCUUUGCUUAAUGUAUUGGGUUUUUCUUAUUAUAUCAAUGCUUGGAAUUGUUGUUUAUAAUGUUGGAAAAAAAAUGAUGGAUUUAGGUUAGCAAAAAAUGAUGGAUUUUGGUUAGCCAAUGAAUACAGUGAUUUAAAUAUAGCUAUAGUAGCUAUAAUUACAAGAAAUAUUUAUAUGUAUUAGAGUAUUUCGGAGCUGAAAGAUCAAUCCUUUGUUGACCCACGCCUAUUAUUCCAAUGCUUGGUAUUAUAUUAAUGUGGUUAAAAUUUUUCAUUUUAUUUUCUAUAUUGGUGAAAGAAAAUGAUGAAGGUUGGCCAGUGAAUGGGGAUUUGUAUAUACCUACAACACCUAUAAUUAUAAUAAAUGUAUAAUUUGCAGGAGAAAAUGUUAGAGCUGAAAGAACAGUCAUUGGCUAAAGGAUCUGAAUCAAGAUCCUAGGUAGAAAUUUGUGAAGAAGUUCUUGGUAGGAGUUCAGGAUAUGUUAAAUGGCUUGGAUUUGGUCCACUUCCUCAGACACAUGCUUCGUUCAAACGAACUACUACUGAGGUGCAACAGAGGCUUGAACCUCAAAAUGAAGAGAUCGAGAGUCAGAGCACACAACUUCAAAGUCAAAAUGAAAAAAAUCCUUAGAGUGAAGAAAUUAAACGACUGCAAUAACAAAAUAUGCAAAUCAUAGAGAUUUUAAAGAAGCUGCCACUAGCUGGUGUGAACUUUUCAUCCCUUUUCUAUUCCAACUCUAUUCCAACUCUAUGAGUGUUUGUUAUGUUUUUGUUAACAUGUAUAUGUUUAUAGUAUUGUUUUUUAUUACAAUGUUAGAGUUUCCAUUGAUAAACAAUUUCUUAAAAGUCAUAUAUUAUUUCUAAAUAUGUUCAUGAAAUAUGAAUAAUUGUUAACUUUAAUCAGAAAAUCAUUCCCUGCGAAAUUUUGUUAAACUUGUGAUUCUGGAAAUAAAUAGUGAACCAUUAGCUUUGAAACGGUUAACCAAUAAUUUCCAAAGAGGAAUAAAUCUUUAAGCUUGAACUGGUUAGCAAAAUCGGAUAAGGCUAGUGUGUUUUGCAGGUUGUUGGAAGUAAACGGUGAACCGUUUAUAUCAAACGGUUAACCGAUAAUUUUCAGAAUGAAAUUUUAUGCUAACCUUGAACCGUUUAACAAAAACGAAUAAACUUAUUUUGUUUUACAGGUUACUGGAAAUAAUCGGCGAACUGUUAACUUUAAACGGCUAACCAAUAAUUUCCAUAAUGUCAUUACAUGUUAAUCUUGAACCAUUUAGCAAGAAUGGAUAGCUGAAAUUUGUUUUGUGGGUUUCUGAAAAUUAACAGCGAACCAAUAGUGGCAAACGGUCAACCAGUUAUUUAAAUUUUAGCUCAACCGUCACUUGUACCAGUCAAAACGGUUAAUCGAUAACUAUUAACGGUGAUAUGAUUUUGGACAGAAAGUCAAUAACGGCUAUUUUUCAACUCCAAAUAUAAAUAAACUCAAUCAAAUUCAAAUAAGGGUUGAUCACAACGUUAUCAAAUAGCUUGUAAUCGAGAAUACAACAUUCACUGAGCUUUAAAUUCGUUCUUAUUUCAUUUAUUCACACAUUGAGUAUAGUUUGUAAUCAUAUAUUUUGUAUGAGAGAAAAAAACAUUUUUGAGUGAUUGUAAGUGUUGUGAUACACUUGAGUAAAGAGAUUGGGGAUAAUAUUUUCGUGUAAAGGUUGAUUGACACAUGUGAAGUCAAUUGUAAGUGUUCUUAAAGUUUUGAAGGCUUGACUGGUGGAAUCCUGAAGUUCGGUGAGCUUGGAGGUGUGGAUGUAAGCAAAGUUGGCCGAACCACCUAAAAAUAUAUGUGUUUGAAACUCUCUUCCCUUAUCUUUUACAUUUUAGUUGAUUUAUUUAUUAUUGUUUUAAAUUCGUUUAAGAUUUGGAUUAAGUUUUGUUCAAGCAUUGCAUAAUUUUUAAAAACUCAAUUCACCUCCAUCUUGGGUUGCUGAGAUAGUAUUUCAUUUGGUAUUAGAGAGAGGUUCUCUUGUUAGGACUUAACCGUCUAAAGUAAAUGAUCUAUGACAACCCAAAAUAACUCUACCUUUAGAGAAAGACAAUUCAUAACUAGGUCACCAUUCUUUAAUGGUAAUGACUACUCAUAUUGGAAAAUUAGGAUGAGAAUUUAUUUACAAGUCUUAGAUUACGAAAUUUGGGAAGUUGUUUGUAAUAGUCCAUUCAUGUCUAUGACUAAAAAUGAAGUAGGAGAUGAUAUUCAAAAACCUUCAAGUCAAUGGAGUGAGCUAGAAAAGAAAAAGAUGUCUUUAAACUCAAGGCAAUGAAUGCUUUGUUUUGUGCUCUUAAUAAGAAAGAAUUGCAUAGAGUAUCUAGCUGUGAGAGUGCUCAAGAAAUAUGGAAUAAAAUUGAGGUUGUCUAUGAAGGGACAAAUCAAGUUACAGUGUUUAAAAUCAGUAGAUACGCUCAUCAAUAUGAAUUGUUCUAAAUGGAACAAAAUAAAAGUUUGUAUUCUAUGUAUACACGAUUUACAGACAUAGUCAACACCCUAGGUGUCAUGGAAAAACUUUUUCGAAUAGCGAGAAAGUCAAGAAAAUCAUUAGGUCGCUUCCAAAAUAAUAAAGACCUAAAACGUCUGCCAUUGAAGAAGUAAAAAAUUUUAAUACUUUACAUAUUGAUGAUUUAAUUGGCUCUCGAAUUUCGUAUGAAGAAGACUUGGCAGCAUAAAAAGGGCAUGAGGAGAAGAAGAAAAGUAUUGCUCUUAAAGCUUCAAAACAUGAGAGUGAUGACAAAGUGAUCUGGAUGAUGAGAAGAUGGCUAUGCUAACUAGAAGAUUCAUAAAAUUCGACAAGAAAACUAGUAAGUGGAGCACGUUCAGAAACUUCAAGAAUCAAAAGGAGAAGAAGGUGUCAAUCACUUGUUAUAAAUGCAAAAAGCCUGAACACAUACGGUCGGAAUGUCCUCUUCUCAACAAGCUAAAAAAGAAAGCAAUGGUAGCCACAUGGGAUGACAGCGAUGAGGAAACGAGUGACGAUGAAGAGCAUUAAGAAAUGACAAAUCUAGCUCUCAUGGCAAUUGGGGAAGAAUCAUUUGAUGAACUUGAUGAUAUAAGUGAUCUUCCAACAUAUGGUGAGUUACAUAAUAUUUUUAAAGAACUGCAUGAUGAGUGGAUAAAAAUUAGUAAAAAAAAUGCAUGCCUUAAAAAGAAAAUACUAGAACUUACAAAUGAAAAUGAUGCCUUGGAAAAAUGCAAUAAUUAUUUGAAUGAGAAGAUAAAAGAAUUAAAAUUAGAGAAUAAAAUAUUGCAUGAUAAGAUUGCAUCUUUUAAAGGUAAACAGAGUACUUCAUAUAAGCAUGAAAAAUCACAUGUAGAUGAAUUGGUAAAAUAGAAUGAAGUGCUUAAGAAGAAUAAUAAUGAGAUAAAUGAAAUUGUGUUAAAAUUCAAAAAUGAGUAAAAGAUGUUGGAUAACUUACUUAAUUCACAAAAAUGUGUGUUUAACAAAGGAGGUAUUGGCUUAUAAGCCAAAUUUGAAAUAAAAGUAUUAUAAGAAUUACUUUAUAAAGAGUACCUCCAUUAACAAUCAUAUUGUAUGUUAUUAUUGUAAUUAAGAUGGUCACAUGAAAAAUAGAUGUUCAGUGAAAAGAAAUGUAUAUUAUGGUGUGAAAUAUGUUUAGGUUCCAAAAAGGAACUAUUGCUAACACUCAAGGACCCAAGAAGUUUUGGGUACCUAAAACUUAGAAACUUUUUCUGCAGGGAUCAAAGAAAAGAAAAAAUAAGUGGUAUUUGGACAGUGGAUGUUCAAGACAAAUGAUAGGGAAUUACUUUUGGUUUUCAAGUUUUACCAAGAUCGAGACGGUGGAAACGUUUCCUUUGGAGAUAAUUCAAAAGGAAAGAUCAUUGGUACUGGCAAUGUCAGUAAUGUAUCUUUUACUCUUAUUGAAAAGGUAUACUUGGUUGAAAACUUGAAACACAAUUUACUUAGCAUUAGUCAAUUGUGUGAUAAGGGUUAUAAAGUUGUUUUUGAUAAGACUAGAUGUGUUAUUAAGAAUGUUUCUUCUCAUCCUAAAGAUUUAAUUUUAGGAGAUCUUUCACGAGGUGUAACAACUAGAUUAUCAUUUAGAAAUACUUGUGAACAUGCUGCAUUCAUAUCUUAAAUUGAACCAAAAUUCUUUGUGGAUGCGGAAAAUGAUAAAUCUUAGAUUAUGGCAAUACAAGAGGAGUUUAAUCAAUUUGAGAGAAAUAAUGUGUGAGAAUUAGUUCCUAAACCGGAAUAUCAAUCCAUUAUAGGUACUAAAUAGGUAUUUAAAAACAAAAUAAAUGAAUCUGGUGUGGUUAUAAGGAAUAAAACUAGAUUAGUAGCUGAAUGUUACAACUUCGAAGAGAGAAUUAAUUUUGAUGAAACAUUUGCACCAAGAGCUAGACUAAAAUCAAUUAGGAUACUCUUAGCAUUUGCAUGUCAUAAAAAAAUUUCAUUUUAUUUCAAAUGAAUGUAAAAAGUGCUUUCUUAAAUGGUUAUAUUGUGGAAGAAGUGUUUGUAAAACAAUCCCUUGGUUUUGAAAAUGAAAAAUUUUCAGAUCACGUUUAUAAGUUGCCAAAAGUAUUGUAUGGAUUAAAACAAGCACCUAGAGCAUAGUAUGAUAGGCUUAAAAAUUUCUUAUUAGAUAAUGGUUUUUCGAUGAGUAAAACGGAUACUACUCUUUUUGUUAAGCACAAUAACCAAUAUAUACUUGUUGUUCAAAUUUAUAUUGAUGAUAUUAUCUUUGGUUCUACUAAAGAAUUGUUGUGUAAAAAAAUUUCAUCUUAUAUGAGUAAAUAAUUUGAGAUGAGUAUGAUGGGAGAGUUGAAGUACUUCCUUGGGCUACAAAUAAAAUAAAAUGAGGAAUGGAUUUUCAUAAAUCAACCCAAAUAUGUGAAUGAACUACUCAAGAGAUUUGGCAUUGAUGACUCAAAGAAUAAGAGCACUCCAAUGAGCACAAUAACCAAGCUUGACAAAGAUUAAAAAGGCAAAGAAGUUGAUAUCAAAGUGUACCGAGGUGUGAUAAGUUCUUUACUUUACUUAACAACAAGUGGACCUGAUAUCAUGUUUAGUGUACGUUUGUGUGCAAGAUUUCAAUCAUGUCUCAAGGAAUUUCAUUUACUUACUGUGAAAAGAAUUUUCUAUUAUUUGAGUGGAAUCAUAGAUCUUGGCUUUUGGUAUCCUAGAGGAACUCAUAUAGAUUUAACUUGUUAUUCGGAUGCUGAUUUUGCCGGUUACAAAGUCGAUAGGAAAAGUACUAGUAAAACUUGCCAUUUACUAGGUCAUUCACUUGUUUCAUGGUUUAGUAAGAAACAAAAUUCGGUUGCACUCUCAACCACCGAGGCUGAAUACAUUGCCUCAGGUAAUUGAUGUGUAUAAGCUCUUUGGAUGAAACAAGAUAUUAACCUUGAACAAAUUCCUAUCAAGUGUGAUAAUACUAGUGCUAUAAAUCUAUCAAAGAAUCCCAUUUAGCACUCUAAAACCAAGUAUAUAGAAACUAGACAUCAUUUCUUGAAAGAUCAUGUUUAAAAAGGAGAUAUUGCAUUCAUAUUUAUUUUUAAAAUGUUGAACUUUUUAUUAUGUUAUUAAAUCUUGGAGAUUUAUCGAUUUUUGAUUUACUAUAUAAUUUAGUUCUUGUCAUUAUUGACUAAACUAAAUGGUCUCUAUAUAUUUAUUUUGGUGUUUGAUUAAGUGCUCAAGCAAUUGUGCAACAUUAUGUGACUACAAAUAAUUAGUGAUUUUAUGUUGGUUGAUGCUCUUUUAAUUACAUUUUGAACAACGAUGCCUCAUUUCAGUGACCAAUACAAUUGGUCUCAAUUUAAAUAACCACAUAAGUAUUUUUAUGCACUAAACAUAUAGUUAUUAAAUAAUAUCAUUAGCGACUAAGAUAAUUAGUCACUGAAAAAAAUAUUUGUCGACCAAGAGAAACAACCACCCAUAUAUAUAUUCAUCGACUGUGAACGUUAGACACUGAAAAAUAUAUUUGUUGACCACAUCAAUUAGCUACAUAAGAACAUGAUUUUCAACUAUAUAAAAUAGUCAUACAAACAAUUCAUUCGUGAUUAGAACUAAUGGCUAUGAAAUAAUACCUUUGGUGGCCAAUUUAUGCCAUUCCAGAAGACCAAAGCGGAAUAAUUUCAUCGACUUGAAUGACUAUUGCAAUAGUCGUAAAAAACUACUUUUUGGUAACUUUUAUAAUUAGUCACAUAUUCAAAGGUUCUAUGGUAACUUCGCAUCCUUCUAAUCAACCAAAGGUGACUCGUUUAAUGAUCAUCUAUGACUAAUAUAAUAGUCAUCUAAAAGUAUAUUGAGUGACUAAAGUAGUUUAGUCGUAAAAGCUUUCCUCAACCGACAUUUCGUGUCUAUUGUGCGACUAAAAAUAAACAGUUGCAAAACCAUUUUGCAACUGUUUGGAUAAGUUUUAGAGACUAAAUUUAUAGUCAUCAAAACACAAUUUCCUUAUAGUGUUGUUUCAAUUGUCUAUGUUUUAAAAAUUGUCUAGACCAUGGAAAAUUUAGUUCUUGCAAAAACAAAAUUGAAGAAGUUUAUACAUGAUUUCGGUGGGUUUUUAACAUAUUGAAAGAUACAAGAUUGAGGGUACUUUCGGUAUUAUUGGAGGUGUAAAAAGUGAAAUUUUAAUUUUGAAAUUUAGAAAAUAGGUUUUUUGAGUAAUAGGUUGUAGAAAUUUUUUUUUUUUAGUUCAGAUAGCUCCAUUCUUUAAAAAAGUUAAUUUAUGAAAGACUAAUUUAAAUUUUUUACUAUUUUUAACUAAUGUUAAUCCUAAUAGGAUUUAAUGUAUUUGUUUUAGUUAUUUUUUCAAUUCCGUUCGAACAUUGAAUUUAUUCACAUCGAGUGAUUUCAUCAACAUGCAUACCUACUAGAUUUGAUAUAAUAUGGAGAAAAUGUUGUGGACUUGAGUAAUGUUUGGCAUACAUACAUAGCAUCCACAUAUUCUAAUUAGCCCCAAAGGGCUAUUUUGUCGUUUACCACAUCCACCUUUCUUGACCAUUGAGGUUCCAAGAAGAUCUUGCAACUUUAUUAAAAUGACAAGAGUUAUGCUAUUGACAUUCCUUUAAUUUAUGUCCUGUUCAGGAUUGAGGUUAAAAUUGAAUAAGUUAUUUUUUUCAUAAUUUUUGAUAAAAAUAGUGUUUGGUUAAUUUUGUAAAAUCUGUUUAUUUCAUAAUUUUCUUUUCAUUUUGACAACAGCUUUUAAAAGCAGAUAAGAAGUUGUUUUUCAUAAGCAGCUUAUUAAAUAAAUUACCACACUUUUUUAAAAUUCCUAUUAUAACAUUAAUAUUUUAACAAAAGAUUAUUAUGUCAUUUUUUCAUAAACCCUAAUAUAUAAGCAAUUUGAUAUCAUAUCACCACUAUGAUCAAAUUGCCCCACAAUUACUGUAUGUUCUCUACAAUAACAAAAUUUUGAUCCAAUAAGUUCAUAUUACGUAUAUUUUACUUAAAUUUUUUAAUUUUAAGAUCCAAUAAGACUUGCAUAUGAUUAUAUAAAUUUUGUUUGAACUAAGAACAAUUUCACAUGAAAGUUAACCAUGAUUUUUAAAAUCAGUUUCAUAACCAUGGCUUUUAACGUUCAAUUUAUUUAUAUUUUUUUAUAUAGUCAUGGUGUUUAUUGCAACAAGCUUAAUGUAAAUGUAACACAUAUUACUUCUUUAUUUUAUUUGGAUUAUGCAUUAGUAUAAAUUUUUUAUCAUAUUUUAUGUAACAGAUAAUGAAGUAUGUUAUAUUUUAUUUAAUUGAGUUUUUUUUCACUUCAUGUAAUUUUAUGUGUUUUAAAAACUAAAAGGUGUGUCCAAAAAUUAUUAAAUAUACUUUAAAAAUUAAUGAAAAUUUAAAUUUAUAUAUAUUGGUCAUUAUAUAAUAAAACAACACUUUUGUCAUAAAAUUUACCAAAUAUAUGUACAUUGCUUUUUAAACUCACAGCAACAGCAAAAAUACAGUUUAGUAACAAUAAACACUAAGCUGCUUUUUUAAUCAGCAGCCUAUUUCAUCUGUAAAACACAAGUAGCUUAUUCAUCAGCUACUGCAAUUCCAAACUAGCAGUUUAUAUAAUAAUAUCCUUAUAAAACACCAUUUUUGUAAUCAUAACUUUAUUGUUAGAGAGAAUUACAUAUAAGGACAAACAAGAAUUUGUCUUUAGAAAAAUAAUUUCCUUUAAAUGGAAUGAGAUAGUUAAUUACUUUGUGAUGGUCUCAAAAGUCAUAAACUUUGUUUUUCACAUUGAUCCUAUGUAACAAUAUCAAAAUAUCAAGGCAAGGAACAAUACAUCAACUACAGGUACAUAAUAUCUAAAUUUGUUAUGAUAUUUAUUAUAUAAAUUUCCUUGAAAAAAUAUUUUAUUUCUAAUAGUUUUGUAUUCUGCAUUCAUUUUGUAUCCUUUUGUAUGUACACUUAAUUUACUAUGUUUACAAAAUUCAUUUAUAUCUAUGUCUACAUUAGGCAUACAGCUUACUACUGCUAUUUUAUUUUUUAAAUAUACUUCUGCACUGACUAUUUGAGCUUGCUCAUGGUCAUAAAAUUUACUAUCAUAUAAAUAUAAAUGUGCUUUAGUAUCCAAAUGUUUUUUUGCUUGACUAAAAUUACUAUUACUAUUAUUCGCAUAUGUAUAUCUAUAUAAUUGUUUUCUAAUAUAAUCUCUACCUACUGGGCUGGUUAAUAUUAAUUCUUCCCUUCUAUUUACUACUGAUGGUUUAGUUUCAUAUGUGUAGAUAUAUAAAUUGUUAUUCAUUUUUAUAUUAAUCCUCCAUUAUAUAAUAUUUUCUUUCUAAUUUGUUCAAAGACUCUUUCUAAUAAUUUAUUUGGGUCUUGUUCAUCUAUUAUAUCUUCAGUUCUUUAUAUAAUUUCUUUUCUUCUACUAGAAAAUGAUAGUGAUCUUCUAAUUCUUUCUGCUAUAGUAACAUCAAUACUGGUAUUUCUUACUAAGUCUAUACUUUUUAUGUUACUUUUAGUCCUAAAAUAUCUUUUAUAUCUACUUUUCUAAAUACUAAACUUGGUCCAUUCAAAUUUUAUUUUUCAACUCUAUUUGUUAAUAUGUCUAAUUCCUUAUCUAAAUUAUCUAAUGAGUUACUAAACUCUAAAUGUGGUAUACUGUUUCUUUACUUUUUCUAAGGGUUUAAAGCUACUUUCUAAUUUAAUGAGUCUAUCUUCUGAGUUUUCUUAUUUAUUACUAACUUUGACUAAUAAUUUAAUAAUAAUGUUUGCUUGAGCUUGUUGUAUAUUAUUACUUUCUUGGCUACAUUCUUUAAAGUUAUAACCUACUGAAGCAAUAUUUGGAGGUUCUCCUUUUAACUCUGCUAAAGAUUCUAUUACUUGCUUUUCUAAACUCAUUCACUUACUAUUAAUUUUAUUGAGUCUAACUGAAUUUAUAAGUCUCUCUAUGUAAAUUUAAUAUUUUAUAUUUCAACUUUUAAAGUUUCUACAAGACUUUAAAUUUCUAAUUCUAUUGGUUUAGGUGUUUCCAUGUCUAAUAAUUGGACUAAUUCUACAAUUUCUUUCUUGUUAGGGAAUCUUUUAAUCCGGCUAUUGAAAUCAGCUAAUAAUUCUUUAAUAUAACAUAAGAUUCUUCUUAAUGUAUUAAUAUUACUAGUUUCAAAGAAUUUUCUAAUCCUACUGCUAGCUCUUUUAGCUUUUGUAAAUUGGUUUCUAAGUGUUGUCUUAAAUUAGUUAAUAAAUCAACUAUGAAGUUUUGUUGAAUAUUGCUAGUGUGUGGAAUAUGUUAUAAAUUGAUUUUCUAAAUGUUCUAUAUUACAACUAAUUUUAAUUUUUUCUGUCAAAUUUAAUUUUGUUUUUCUGUGAUUACUAAUUUCUAAAUCUAAAUAAUCUAAUCUCUGAAAAUUCAUAACUAAUUUUGUAAAUCUUUUAGUCUAUUCUAAUUCUUAAAGCUAUGUUCUCAUACUUUUCUAAUAAUUUUAUCUCUCUAAUGUAUAUACCAUCAAUAAUAGAUAAUUUAGAAAGAGUGUAAUGCUAAUACUUAUAUUUCUUUCUAUUUUAAGAGUUAAAGGAGAUGUAUAAUCUACUGGAAGCUUUAUAUUUUCUAAUCUUUUUUAGUUUCUACAAUAUUUAAAGCACGUUCUAAUAUUUCUAUAUAAGGGUUGUUUUGUAUUCAAGCAUCAGAAAUAGCACAAUUCGACAUAGAAGUCCAACAUUUAUAGUAAAUAACCAUAGUGAACAAAAAUGAUGUAAGAGUAGAAUGGUAAUUAAUUAUAAAAGAUUAAACGAUAAUACUUUGAACAAUAGUUAUAAAAUACCUAAUAAAGAUGAAUUAGUAAAAUGGUUUUAAUAUUUUCUAAAUUUGAUUGUAAAAGUGGAUUUUGACAAUUACGACUCCACGAAGAAUCUAUUCAAUGAACAACUUUUAGUUGUUAAGAAAGAAACUUCGAAUGAUUAGUAAUGCCAUUUGGAUUAAAAAAUGGACCACAAGUUUUUCAAGCUAUAAUUGAUAAAAUAUUAAAACCAAUUUCAAAAUUUUGUAUAGUUUAUAUAACUAAUAUUCUUGUUUUUAGUUAUAAAAGAUUUAUGUAUAUAAUUCAUUUACAUAAAAUUUUACAUUGUUUUAAGAAUAAUAUUAUAAUUCCUAAGAAAAAGAUUGAAUUAUUAAAAUAAAAAUAAAUUUUUUAAGACUAAUAAUAGACAAAAGAAAUAUAGAAUUACAACCACACAUAUUAGAAAGAUAUUAGAAUUCCCAUAUAGAAUAGAAGAUACUAAAGAAUUAUAAAAAUUUUUAGGACUAAACUAUUAAACUAUAAUACAAAGUUUAUACCAAAUCUUUGUACAUAAUAAAACUCUCGUAUAAUAAGUUAAGUAAAAAUGAACAUAAAUAUUUAAUAGUGAAAACAUAAAAUUAAUACAAAAACUUAAACGAGUAGUUAGAAAUCUUAAAUCAUUAGCAUUACCCAUAAACAAUUACUAUAAAAUUAUACAAACUGAUGUAAGUAGUUUAGGAUGGGUAGGAAUAUUAAUAUAAAAGCCUUAUAAAGGUAGUUCAAAAGAGGAAGAAGAAAUAACAAUAUAUACUAGUGAAAAUUUUAAAGAAAUAGAAAGUAGAAAGUCUAGCACAAAAUUAAAAAUUUUAGGAAUAAUAAAUUCUUUAAACUCAUUUCAUUUGUAUUUACAAAAUAAUACAUUUACAAUAAGAACACAUUGUAAUAAUAUCAUAGAAUUUUAUAAAAGAGUAUAAAAGAAAAAUUUUGAGAAGAAAAAAUCUUUUAUUAAUAGAAGAUGUAUAUAUUUUUUAGAAGUAAUGACAAGUAGAAGAUAUAAAGCAAACUUCAAACACAUAGUAGGUAAAGAUAAUAUUUUAGUAAAGAUAGUAUUUUAACUAAUAUUCUUUCAAGACUAAUUACUCAAUGAUUAUUUUGUAGGAAUUGAGCGAUAUAUGAAUUUCGAUCCAGUAACAUUUAGACAGUUCCCUUCAGCAACAAAUUUAAGUCUUAGAAGUAAAUUUCAAUUAUUAGAUAGUCAGUAAUGCAUCUUAGACACUUUGUAGAGUUGUAGUAACCCACUAGAUAAAUUAAAAGUAGUUAAUGCAUUCAUGCGUUAUUUUAGACAUAUUAAUGAUCAUGAAGAAAGUAAUCAUUUUGUAUUUUUUAUCUUAGUUAAAGAUAGACAACAUGCAUUUAUAACCAAUGGAGAGAGGUAUUUGAUCUAAUAAUCAAUUAUCUUUAUCUGUAUUAUAGAGGAUUUUUAUACAUUUCAUGAAGCAAUUGAAUUUGCUAGACAAAAGAUAGAACCAAAUUUCAAGUUAGCCAUUUAAUUAACCUUUUAAAUAGUGCAUCAACAUCAUUAGCCAAACAAUUAAAUAAUUCUCUAGACAGUGCAUCAGCAUAAUCAUCAUCAACCAUACAGUUAUGCAACCACUGUGAAGUCAUGACACGGACAAUUAGAAAGCUUGAUGCUACUUGACAUGACUCAAAAGUGUUUAAUUUACUCCCAAGUAUAAGAGUGUCUAGUUAUACUAUAGCUUGGUAAGUCCGAGAUCGAUCCACAGAGAAAAUAUUUAAUUUUUUUAUUUAAUUUUAUCUAAAAAAUGAAAAUAAAAUUUAAAUAUAUGCAAUUUAAUUUGAGAAAAACUAUAAAAUUAAAUUAGUUAGGGUUAUGAUCCACUCUUAGUAACAAAUACAAUUUAAUAAAAAAUUUAUUUUUAGUUUAUUACCCAAAUGAUUAGUUGUAUAAAUUAUAAUUAUUUUCUCAAUGAUUUUAUUAUGGAUUAAGUACUUAGUAUGCCAAAAUUUAAUUUGUUUACAAUAAGUCAAAAUACCAUUUUAUCAUACUUUAUACUAAGAUAUUAAGAAUUCAUUGUUCCAAACCCCAUGUUUGUCUACAAUAAAUCAAAAUUUCAUAAUAUAAAAUAUGGAUAAAAUUAGAUGGAAAAUAAUUUAAUUUAUAUAAUUAAAAAUAAAAUUUGUUUAAAUCAUUUUUUUUUACUAAGAGUUUCACAUUCCCGUAACUAUUAGUAUUUAGCUAAACAUAUUUGAAAUAAAGGGAAUUAUUAAAAAGGAAAAAGAACAUAAUUAAAAAAAGUAUUUGAAAUUUGAAAAUCAAACUAAUUUUAUUUAUUGAAAAUAUAUUACAAAGAGAGAUGAGAAGAAGUAUUUGAGGAGAAAGAAGAGAAGGAAAGGUGUCGAGAGGUGUGUUCUCCCCUCUCUAUUUAUACUAAUACAUGAUUAAUCCACACCACAUAAAUAAAUAAAGCUAAUUACAUCUUAGCCAUACAUUUGUCUCACUAACAAAACAUAAACUUAACUUAAUUCACUCAAGCACAUCCAACACAUUCUACUAACAAUUACAAUAUCUAACAUAGUAAAAACUUAUAAUUUCACAAUUACCACAUUUACCGUCGUAAAAACUUAUAAAUUUACAACAAAAGUGACGGAUCCCUUUCGAUAAUGACCUAAUUUCUUGGAUUUCCGGAAUCUAAAUUUGACAUUUAUGCAUUUGUUUGGAACCUCUAAUUGCAUGAAUUAGUAUUUUUACCUAAUAAACACACAAAAAUACACAAAAUCAAAUAUUUAGAAAAAUAAUUAGAAAUUCAUAAUAUGUUACAUAAUUACAAAUGUAAAUUAUAUUAUAAGCACAAAAUAACACUUUUACCCCUUAAUAAACAUACAAUUUUUAACACUAAUCACACCUCCCAACCAGCUUAUUGCUAGCCCCUAGCAAUUAAAGCUUUAUAUUAAAUUAAGAUUUACAAAAUUCACAUGCAACUUAAUAGUUGUUUAUCUAUCCCCUGAACUACCAAAUAAAUAAACUCUCCCAAAUUUUUCUAACUCUUUGUCGAUUAAUUAUUAUCCAUAAUAUCAUAAACUUUCUUUUGUGCUUAAAUAAUUAACACAAUACUUAUGGGACUUCAUUAAAAAAAAACAACAUUUUCGUUCUAAAACUCAUUAGAAAUUAUAUCUUCAGGCAGUAGAUUAUUCAAACUUUUUAAAAAGAAAAUUACAUUUUUAACCCAUGUAGCGAACUUUAGGCCAGCGACUCACAGACUAGUUGGCCUUUAGGCACUAGGUGUUGAGACACCCCUAUAGACUUAAUUACUCGGGUUUUUAAUAAAUAAGUAAACAAUAUAUCUAUAACUCAUGUAACGAGCUUUGGGCCAAUGACUCCCAGACCGGUUGGCCUUAGAGCAUUAAGUGUUGAAACUCCCUUAUGGACUUAAUUACUCAGGAUCUAGAUAUAACAAAAUUAAACACAUUCAAAAUUUUUUUUUUUUUUGUUUUUGGUUUUGGCAGUAUACACUUCUAAUACCUUAGAUAUUAUCGCUAAUAAAUCAAAAGAACUAAAUGCUGUAAAAUUUUUAACUUACAACCCACUAGUAUGUGUCAUAGUGUGUGUAAAGAAUGAUUUAAUAAUAUAUGUUAAACGAGUAAACAACAAAACGACUUAAUAACCAAAUGGAGAGUACAAAUUUGAGUAAUUUUUAAAAAAGGAAAAAAAACAACUUACUAUGAAUUUUAAAUCAAAAUAUAACACAAUAGGACUGUUAGGAGGCAUCUCAAAAAUCGUGACUCUUUACAUAGCCAUCUUAGGCAAAAAUAAAUAGUUGUUUUUGUUUUUGUUUUUUUUGUUUUCUUGCAGAAAAAUAAACAAACAAACACACUUAUUUACAAUUUACGUCAACUAUCCCUUCCUCCUAACCUAAUCUAAACAUUAUUCAUAAUUUAAAGAUAUGCAUGCAAAAAGACGAAAAAGAUAAAGAAAACAUAAAUAAUAAGAAGAAGACAUAAGAAAAAUCACAUCUGAACAUACUGCAGAAGAUGCAUUUCUAGAGCCGCUACACCCCAUAUUCAGCUAUCUUCGACAUAAACAUUACCAGGAUUUGAGAUAUUUCGUAAUUGUCAACUAUUCCCUCCCCCCGACCAAUAUAAGACAUUGUCCUCAAUGGCUUAAGGGAAAAAAAGUAGAGUUUAGAAAAUAUUACCUAAUCGCUCCGAGAAUAUAAUUACAACUGAAGAGUUAAGUCCAACUUGUACUUCUUAUUAGGGCCAGGGUUACUAUAAUUAAACAACCAUUCCAAUGCCAAGGUCUUAGGAUUUGGCUCUAGUUUGUAAGCUUGUAAAAGAUUAAGUAACUCAUUAGCAGUAGAAGCACAAAUAAAGUUUUUUUCGCGGAGAUUGGAAUAAAAUGAUUCUUAAUUGCAUGGUUAAUGAAUGUGAGCAAGCCAUCAUGACAAUUAUUAAGAUUUAGCAAAUUGAUAAAUUUUUUAUGGAUGUUCAAAUGGGCCCAAGAUGCAAAUGUAAUAAGUGUAUCUAAAGUUGCAAAUCUCAUGGCAAGAAAAUGAAAGCUUGCAAAUCUCCUGGCAAGAAAAUGAAAGCGUCAGCAUGAUUUAACGUUUUAGAUAUUCGCUCUUGCAUACUUGAGAUAACUAACUCUUCUCCAAUUGGUAGGUCGGACAGGCAUCCCAGAGGUUUUAAGGCUUGUGGAAUGAUACAUAGCACCUGGUUUCCUAUAAUAAAAAUAGCUUCUGAGACAAGUUUUGAACCUGCAGUCACCUCCUCCAUAUACAAGGUGUAGUUUUCUCUCAGCUAUAAUACGUCUAAGAUCUAUAGCUGCUUGAACGAACUUCUUGUAUUUUCCAUAAUGAAAUCUAGAAAGCACACAAAUAUUUUUGAAUUGGCUAUUCAAAGAUGCUGCCAUUGGAAUAAUCUUCAAAAACAAGUUGUGAGUGUUUAGGAAAAGAGCUCAUAUUUAAAUAUUUUAGUGACAGACAAAAUGAGAAACAUCUAUAAAUGGGUUGAUGUAUUUUUCAAAUGACGCAUAAAGCUCAUGUCUCAAUAAUUCAAAAGCAAAUAAUAAAAAGAAAAAGCAAACAAUGAUUAAAAAAAGCAAACAGUAAAAGAAAAACAAACAGUGAAAAAACAAUAAUAAAAAAUAAUGAUUAAAUAAAAAAUUAUACCACUAAAUGCAAUAAUGCAAAUGAUAAAAGAACAACAAAAUAAAAGGAUAUUUACUAGUAAUUGUGAUUGUGGCUCACAUCUUCAUCUGAUUUUACGUCCAGUAACGGCUUGAACGCCCUCUAUGGGUCGAGGAUUAGCUUCCCAUCUAGUUUUCUUAUAAACUAGCAAAUAAGGUCUUUUUGAUUCAGAUUUUCAAGACUAAAUUGUGCGCUUUCUUUUUGGAAUAGCUUCCAUAACCUAUUAAUCUCAUAUUGCACAUGUCUGCUUCGACGCGUCUCAAGAUAUUAUCCAAUAAUUCUUUACUUAGGCCAUCUUUAUCGAACUGCUUCUUGAUUAUCAUACACCAUUCCUAAAGAUUUAUAAAUUUCUUGUUUUGCAACUAAGUCUUACACAAUUGUGACAUUCUGAGCCAAGUCUUUUAGCUCUUUUUUUUUUUUUAUAGCAAAUGUGCUUUUACCAAAACCAAACAUGUAAGAAAUAAAUGGAUCAAGAAACUCACCAACUAAUCGUACCUUUGCUUCAAUUAACCAAUGAAUAUCAGUAGGAAAUCCCAUUAAUAAUUAACAAACGCAAUCAUUCACAAUGAACUUUGUAAAUUUUCUUGAGGGCAUUUUGAGGGAGAGAAUGAAAAUACUUGUGCAAUUUAUGUUGUAUUUCUUUCAUGAUAGAUUUUGAGGUCUCAGUUAUUGUGGGAAACUAAGGAUAUCGACUUAAGAAGUCACAGACUACCGUUAUCCACCAUUUAUACGAGAAAAUAAAUCAAACAUGCCAAAAUAUCCGCCAUUCAUCCUUUUAUUGAGUUAACCUCAAACUCCAAUUAAAAUUCAUAUAUACCAUCCUCUAUUUCUUUGAGUUGUCUUUCUGGAUUCUCAACGUAGGACCCUAAUGUUGGUGGUUACAAAUCUCAAAUUGGAAGUGAUUUACAACUUUGUAUCAAGCCUCUCAAGUGAAAUUUCACUAGCAAUAAGUUUUUAAGAUGUGUCAAUAGAAUAUUCCUUAUUCAGGUGCUCAUGAUGUAUAAUGACAAAAAAAAAAACACAAUUAUCAAACACACUUAAGUAAGAAACAUCAUAACGCGUAUCAUUUAAGACAGUCAAACAAUUCAAAUGGUAAAGUAACCGUGAAAAGUUAAAUCACUCAUUAAAAACUUAAUCAAGAUUUGGUGGGUCACUUAAAUUUAUUUCGGUGCUUUCUUCACGUGGUUGAUAUUCCAGAUAUGGUUUUAAUAUUUGUCCAUUAACUUUAAAUGUGACACUGUUAUUUGGAUUCUUAAUUUCUAUAGUCCUAUAAGGAUAUACAUUUUUUAUAACAAAUGGGCCACUCCACUUUGACUUUAAUUUUCCUGAAAACAAAUAAGGCGAGAAUUGUAAAGCAACAUUUUUUGACCAAUCUCAAAUAUUUUCCGGAAAAUUCUUUUAUCAUGAAAAAAUUUUGUUCUUGCCUUAAUAAUUCUUGAAUUUUCAUAUGCAUCAUUCCUUAAUUCCUCAAGUUUAUUCAAUUGCAAUUUUCGCACAUUACCAACAUCAUCCAAAUUUGAAUUAAAAGCUUUAAUAGCCCAAAAUAAUUUAUGCUCAAGUUCAACAGGUAAGUGGUUGGCCCAUAGUGCAUCAGUCGGUCGAAGAGACCAAUCUUUACAGUUUGGGUUAAUUGCCUUUUUUAAAAUUUGUUUUAUCUCCCUAUUUGACAGUUUCCACCAUUAAGUUUUUAAUGCUUUUAACUCUCUUUUUUAAAAUUUGUUAAUUUGACAGUUAACCCAAACCAUCUUUUUUAAAAUCGUCUUGGCGAUGCAUUCCUGAUAAUGAGAUAAGUCGUGUUAUUAAUUUUUGUUAUUCUGAAGCAUGUGGUGGACACUUUUCUUCAAGAAAAAACACAACUAAAAUUUUGCAAUGUGGAUUUUAUUCGCCUACCAUAUUCAAAUACACAUAUGAAUUUUGCAAAACUUGUGAAAAUUGUCAAAAAUUAACAUCAAUUACUAAAAGAAACAUGAUGCCCUUAAAUCCCACACUUGAGAUUGAGAUAUUUGUUGUUAGCCUAAAAGGUUACACAUAAUAUAAUUUUGAUAAUAACAAACAUGUGUCUUAAGUGAUUUAAUAAAUAUUAUAUUUCACAUUUUCACUAGUUUUUGAAGUAUAAUAUUUAUGCAAGUGAAUCAAGUGAACUUAAGUUCAAGACACUCAACAGAUAUCGGUGAAAUCAAGAAUAAAGUUUAGAGCUCAACGGACAAAUUAUUACGACAAAUUCUUGUAAAGUGGUAUGAUUUAAUUGAUACAUGAAUUAGCAUUUGAGAAGCUCAAGAGUUUAUUUAAAUAAUUACUUUUCAUAAACUAAAAUGUUUUAUAUUUAUAAGAUAAAGUAUUUUGUGAAUUUCAGUAAUUUGGACUAAAAUGAGUUUUCCAAUAUUUGAAUUUAAUAAGAAUUAUUUUGAAUUCUGGAGUUAGACCUAUUUGCAAACAUUUGAAACAUUUUGCGUCAUACUUUAAUUAAUGAAAGUUUGAAAACCUGAAUGUAAUCCAAACAUUUGAAAUCCAAAAUUGGACAGAGAGUGAGCGGCUAACUGCCUGAGGGCUAGCGGCUAGCCGCCUGAGGAAAAUCUCAUAUUUUCAAAAUUUGGACUAAAGUGAAAGGUUUUGAAAACUUUAAAAAUUAUAGGCAUUAUGUUAAAUUUUGAAAAGAACCUAUUUGAAAAAUGCUAUUAUAUUUGGGGCCAUAUCAUAAUUUCAAAAAAUUUUGGGAAUGACAAGCAUUAUUUAGAAAUUCUAACAUUGGAUAUGUUUGUAAAGUUUUAUGACUUUUGGGCCAUAAUAUAAUUAUAGAAACUUUUGGGCAAAUAUAUAAUUUUGUGAACAGUGCUAUUAUAGUAAAAUUCAAAUUUAAUGGUAACAUCACUGUUCUGGGCGGCUAGCUCGAUAAAUCAAGCGGCUAACCGCUUGGUUGCGAGAAUUUGCCUAUAACAGCUAGUUUUCGGGCUUUAACUAUAAAAUCCCAACUCCAACUUCAUUUUAGAGACUAAUGCAAGAAUAAACAAGAUCAUAUAACAUAUAUUGAGCUUCCAUUUUGUAAAUCAUCAUUUAUUGAAUUAUCAUUGAGCUAUAAUUUGUUUAUCCACUCUUAAAGAGAGUUUCAUUGUUGUAAUUUUCAUUUCUCAUCAAAUUAUGAGUGUACAAGUGUGAAAAACACUUGGGGUGAAGAGAUUGGAGAGAUAAUCUCUUUAUUGUAAAGGUCCAUUGACACCUUGGAAGUCAAUUGUAAAUAUUUAAAGCCUUGAAAAGCUUGGAUAGUGAAAUUCUCAAGCCGGGUGAGCUUGGAGGCGUGCACGUAGGUGGGGAUUGCCAAACCAUGUAAAAAUCCUUGUGUUUGUUUUAUCUUCCCUUACUCUUUUAAUAUUGUGCUUGAUUGAAUUUUUUGUUUUCGAUUCCAUUAAGACAUUAGAUUGAAUUGUUGUGUGGUUUGCUUAGCAUAAUUUUUAAAAUCUCAAUUCACCCCCCUCUUGGGUUGCAUAACUUGCAUUUCAUUUGUGUGAGAUUUAGUUGUGGUUGAGCUAGAAAUUUUCCUUUUUCUUGAAUUGUGAGUGCAGAAGCAAUUUUAGUAAGAGUAUCUUUCAAAUCAGAAAAGGUUUGUGCAUUUUGAUUAUUAAUAGCAUUUUGCUUCUUAAUGAAUGAAUGCAUUGUAUCUUCCAAAUUUUUCCAUGUUGAUGGAACAUAUGGUACAUAAGGAUGAGCAUUUUGAAAAUUUUGUGGAGGUGGUGCUUGUGAUGAUUGUGCAUUAUUAUUAUUCAUCCAACUAAAAUUUGGAUGAUUUCUCCAACUAUGAUCAUAAGUAUGUGAAUAUGGGUUUGACUUAUUAAAAGAGUUAAUGACAUUAGUUUGAUCAUGCAAACAUUCUUUAAGUGCGGGCAGAGUCGGACAAUCUUGAGUGAAAUGAACAUUAGAACUACAAACAUCACAUGCAAUUUCUCAAACAAAUUUUACUUGAUCACUCUUUUUAUUCUUCAAAGCUUCAACCUUCCUAAUUUAGGGAUGUAACUUUUGAUAGUAAAUCAUGAUCUUCCCUAAGGUUAUAAAAUCCUCCAUUUGAUGGAUAUGGUUCUAGUUUAUUUUUUAAUUCAAAAGUGCCAACAAUAUCCCAAUGUUGUGCAUUUUCAGCUAAUUGGUCAAGGUAACUAGUGCAUCUUCAAGAUUUUUAUCUCUAAAUUCACCAUUAAACAUCAUUUCUACAACUUGUUUACUUUAUGGUGUUAAGCCCUCGUAGAAAUAAGUAACCAAUCGCCAAGUUUCAAAACCAUAGUGUGGACAUAUGUUAAGCAAUUUUUUAAAUCUAUCCCAACAUUGGUAUAAUGUUUCUUUGUUUUUUUAGUGAAAAAAGUAAUUGCCUUUUAAAAGAAUUGAUUCUAUGAGGUGGACAAAAUUUUUCAAAAAUUGUUCUUGCAUGUUAUUCCAAGUUCUUAUUGAUCCAGAUUUAAGGUUUUGUAGCCAAAUUUUAGCUUUAUCUUUUAAUGAAAAAGGAAAAAGUUUUAAUCUAAUUAUGUUCAUGCUACAAUUUUGGUCUGUGUAUGUAUUACAAACUUCCUUAAAAUCUCCUAAAUGCAAGUAUGGAUUCUCAUAUUCUAAACCAUGAAAUAUUGGUAAAAGUUGGAUAAUACUUGGUUUGAAGUUGAAUCGAGAUGCUUCUGGAGGAAAUACUAUACACGACAGUGCUCUGGUUCUCAUUGGAUUCAUAUAAUCUCUCAAAGUUCUUGGUUGAUUCUAAUCAUGUUGAGAUUGAUUGUCUCCCUAAUCAAUUGGAGGAUUAAGUUGGCCCAAAAGAUUUCCGUCUUGGAUCUCGUUCAUGAUUGGUGGUGGUGAUUGAAAUCUACGAAUUAACCUGCCACUUAAAGUUCGAGACCAAUGUCUCAUGCAAUGAUGAUGAUGAUGAUGUGUGUGUGUGUGAAAUUAUGUUGUAAAGAUGAUACCCAAACAAAUGAAUAAAAACAAUAAAAAUUACCCAAAUUAAAAACAAAAUGAAAAUUAAAUAAACAAGAUAAAUGUACAAAAGAAUACAAAAUAAAAAUAAAUAAACUGAAAAUUAAUUCAACAUAUUUGAAAUAAAGGGAAUUAUUAAAAAUAAAAAAGAACAUAAUUAAAAAAAGUAUUAGAAAAUGAAAAUGAAAAUAAAACUAAUUUUAUUUAUUGAAAAUAUAUUACAAAGAGAGAUGAGAAGAAGACUUUGAGGGGAAAGAAGAGAAGGAAAGAUGUAGAGAGGUGUGUUCCCCCCUCUCUAUUUAUACUAAUACAUGAUUAAUCCAAACCACACAAAUAAAUAAAGCUAAUUAGAUCUUAGCCAUACAUUUGUCCCACUAAUAAAACAUAAAUCUAACUUAAUCCACUCAAGCACAUCCAACACAUUCCACUAACAAUUACAAUACCUAACAUAGUAAAAACUUAUAAUUUCACAAUUACCACAUUUACCGUGGUAAAAACUUAUAAAUUUUAUAACAAAAGUGGCCGAUCCUCUUUGAUAAUGACCUAAUUUCUCGGACUUCCGAAAUCCAAAUUUAACAUCCGUACAUGUGUUUUGAGCCUCAAAUUGUGUGAAAUUAUUUUUUUUACCUAAUAAACACACAAAAUCAAAUAUUUAGAAAAAUAAUUAGAAAUUCAUAAUAUGUUACAUAAUUACAAACGUAAAUUUAUUAUAAGCACAAAAUAACAUUUUUACACCUUAAUAAACAUACAAUUUUUAACAUUAAUUAAUACUCGAUAUUAUUUAAUCAGUGAAGCAAAUGCAUGUAGACAGAAAAAAAAAAUUACAUUAGAAAGUGCUAAUGUAUAACUAAUUAGAUAGAAUAUUGUAUUACAAAAUAAAAACCAUAAACAACCACUUAAAGAAUUAUUUAAUCAUGCCCCAGCAAGGGACUAAUAAAAAUUCAAAAAUUUCUUUCUCAGUUGGUGAUAGUAUAGACAUUGCAAAAGAAAAAACAGUAAAAAUCUUUUACCAAGACUUUGUUUCAGUUGCCAACCAAAUAUUUUAUAGCAAGAUGAAUCUCUUAAUUGAGCUUGGAUGUGGAUGGUCAGAACUAAAAAAUAUUACCCUUCUUAGACAUGAUUUUCUUUCCAUUUUCUUUGAUUAUUCUUUAGUUAAAACCUUAGACAAUGAAAAUUUAUUAUUUAAAGCCCUUAGUUUAGAAAUGAUACAUAAUAUUUAAAUUUUUAGCUUAGACAGAUUUGGAUUCUUUCUACCAAUUUUAAACAGAGUCCUAUCUAUCAUAAAACCAGCACUUUUAACCAUAAACUUCAGCUCUUUGCCUUUUAGACUCCAAAUAAUUAAUAGAAAGGAAACAAGUGUCAUACUGCAACAUAUCAUGUCAUUUUUAUAAGCGAAAGAGCCAACUGAAAUAUAAGUGUGCAACCCAAGAGGGGGGCGAAUUGGUAUUUUAAAAAUUAUCCUAGCAAAUCCACACAAUAAAUAAUCUAACUUCUUAAUAAAAUUGAAAGCAAUAAGUUCAAUUAAAGCACAAUAACAAAUGAGUAAGGGAGAAGAGAAACAAACACACGAAUUUUUACGUGGUUCGGCAAUCCCCGCCUACGUCCACGCCUCCAAGUGAUCCAAGCUCGAGGAUUUCACUAUCCGAAAAUUUCCAAGGCUUCAACCGUUUACAAUUGAUUUCAAGAUGUCAAUGGACCUUUACAACAAAGAGAUUAUCUCCCAAUUUCUUCACUCAAGUGUCUCACACACUCAAACACUUACAAUUAAGAUAAAGAAAUGAAAGUUACAACAAAACUCACUCAAAGAGUAGAUAUUCAAAAAUGAAGAUCAAGAGAUGAUUCAAUGUGUUUUGUGUUUUGCAAAUUGAAAGCUCAACAUAUCUCAUGUGAUUUUUGUUUAUGCAUGCUGGAGAGAGUGAAAAUGAAUUGGAUUUGAGUUUAUAUAGUUUGAGCUAAAAAACUAGCCGUUAUGUACAUUUUGGUCAUAACCGGCUUACCGUUUAUGGACAUUCGGUUAGCCGCUUAAUGUUACCGUUACAACCACAAUUUUGAAUUUCUGAACAUCCGGUAUGCCGCUUGUGAAAUCCGGUUAGCCGUUUAAGUUCCAGAAACAUUCAGCUCGAACCCGGUCUACCAUUUGUCAGGAUCCGGAUAGCCGCUUGCUACAGUAACUGCUACAGUGAACUAUGUUUCAAAAUUAUAGUUUGACCCCAAAACUUUAUAAAAUUAUAUUAUGGCCCAAAACAUUAUAAAACUUUUCAAAUAGGCCCAAUUUCUAAAUUUCUAAAUAUUAAUUUAUUAAUCCUAAAAAUUUCUGAAAUUAAGAUAUGACCCAAAAUAUGUGAAAUUAUAGAAUGACCCAAAACAUUUAAAGAUUUUCAAAUAUGUCCAAAUCCGAAAUUCAAAACAAUAUCAAAGGUUUUAAAAUACUUUCAUUUUAAUCCAAAACACUUUGAUUCCAUAACAUCAUUUUCUUAUUAUAAAAACGCAAUUCAUAAAUCUUUGUUUAAUCAAUACAUGUGGUUUGUUAUCAUCAAAAUCAAUAUCUAUAGCCAUAUAGGCUAACACCAACAAGUCCUGAAGAAGACAUUAUCAUGAUAAGCCCAGCUUCUCUGCAAAAGACAUAUAUAGAAGAACCCAUGAAAUUGCAGCCUUCUAUAAAUGGGUUGACCCUCAUUAUGAUAUGAUCAUGUUAUAACAAGAAAUUCCUUUGGUGAAAAUCAUCACUUAUAAGUCAGGAACAUUCAUGUUGUAUCACAAAGAAUCAAUAACGAAUUAUGAGGAAGCGUAUCUAAAUUCAUAACGUUGAAUUGCUCUUUGGAGUAUUGCGGUUGGUAUUUUAGAUCAACACUUUAUUCUAGAGAAUCCUUUAAGUUUCUCACUACUCUCUCUGAUGAUGUGAUAUUAGCAAGAAUAGAAAGAUACGUGUGGCCUGGAGACCAUAACCACUUAUUUAGAUAACUUAUUCCUGUUGUUAUUAGGUAUUCUUAAUUUUGCCCAUUAUAGAAUUAGAAUAUCAUUAGUUCUUUAAACAUUAAAGGCCCACACCCUAUUAGAUACAUUAAAGCCCAUAAUACCGAAAAUUUUAAUAGAUCACUUUUAAUUGGGCUUAAUCUUAAAUGACAAUGUGCAACACAUGAUUAUUCACAUAUAAGCCCAACAUUGGAUUAAGGAUUCAACAAUGCUAGAUUAAAAAUCCAACAAAUCAUAGCCCAAGCACAAAACUAUACUAUUUUAGCUUAAAAGUAUCUUGUUCGUGAAGAUUAACUUAGUCAUUUACUACAGAAUAUUUAGAAUCGCUAAUUAAGAUUAAUGACAUGCCAUCAUCAGGAAGUGAAUCUGAAGCUAUGAGUCAUCGAUCUUUCGAUGAAGACAUAACAACAACUAUUGAUGACAUGAUGAACAUAUAAAAGACACCUUUAGCCAGCUAGUAGUACUAAAAAGUCAAGUAGUCAGUCUUUAUUACUGUCAUUUUUUUUACAGAUAUCCUUCAUUUACUCACUACCCAAUAAGGGAAAAGCUAUGAAUACAUCUUUUUCAUUUUUUUUCAUUUUAUUACCAACAUUGGGUCAUCAUAAAGUAAUAGUAGCUAGUCAAUUUUUUUACUACUUACAUUUUACCUAGUUUGUAGCAAAUUUCCACCUAUAAAGUGUAAUCUCAAAAUCUUAUUUCUUGUACAUCGAGUUAUUAAUUGUAACAAUAAUUAUAAGAAGUCCUCGAUUGUAUACAUACCUUUUAAGUCACCGAGAGAGUAGAGUUAUAUAGAGACUUGUAGAGAAUCUCGAGUCAAGAAAGUCUACACUUGUAUGCAAGCAAAGCAAUAAAAAGUUUCUUUAUUCAUAGACACUUAGCAAUCUUUCAGACAUCAGUCAACAACCCCUUAUCAAGUAAGUAAAUUUAAUUUCUUUAGUUUUAUUUAUUUAUCUUUCGGGUUUAGAAUCCUCGCCUAGUUAACGAAAGCAUAAAUUAUAUUUAAAGCAUUAACAAAUGGCGGUCCUUGUUAUUAUUUAAGGGAAAAAGUUUAGAAGAAGGUUUUUGAAAAAUGGGUUUUUGUUUUUAAUAAAAAUAAUAAGAACUUAGUAAAAGUUUCUACUAAAUUUUUGAAAGCUUCUUAUUAGAUACAGUCUUCGUUGGCCCGUUUAUAUUGAAAAGGUGUUUUUAAGCGCGAAUUAGGAGUUUUGAUAGUGUUUUCUACCAGUAGGUUUUGAAAACCAAUUUAAUAAACUUUAAAAAAACAAUUUUACUGAGGCAACGUCCAAUUGUCAUAAACUUUUUAGGAAUUCAUUGUAUAUAGAUGGGAAACCAAUGACAUAUAUUUUGAUGGUUAACUUGGAUAGGAAUUAUAUACUAUCAGUAUAACAAGCCACGUAUAAGUCUUCCCCUCGCCUGCUCUGACACCAAAAAAGAGAAAAUGGUUAGCAGACGAGGGAAAGACUUGUAUGUGGCUUGUUAUACUGACAAUAUAGAUCGACAUAGUCUCAAUUUAGGUUAACCAUUAGAAUAUAUGUUGUCAGUUUCCCGCCCAUAUACAACGAAUUCUGAAUGAAAACUGUGAGAGCUACCUCGGCAAAAACAUAUCUUUUAAAGUUUUCUAAAUUGAUUCUGAAGCAUAUUGGUAAAAAAAACACUUUAAAAUUCCUCAUUUAGGCCCAAAAAUACCUUUUCAAUACAUCAACGGCUAAACGGGCCAACGAAAAUUGUGUUUAAUAAGAAGCUUUCAUAAAUUCAGCACAAACGUUUACUCAAUUUUUAUAAUUUUUGUCAAAAAUAAAAACAAAAACUUAUUUUUCAAAAACCUUCUUCCAAACUCUUUUUCCUUGAAUAAUAACAAGUAUCGUCUUUUAUUAAUGCUUUAAAUAUAACUUAUACUUUCAUUAACUAGGUGAAAGUUCUAAGCUCAAAAGAUAAAUAAACAAAACUUAAGAAAUUAAAUUUACUUACUUGAUAAGAGCUUACUAACUGAUGUCUAAAAGAUUGCUAAGUGUUUAUAAAUAAAGAAACUUUUUAUUACUUUCUUAAAUAGAAGUGUAGGCUUUCUAGACUCUAUAAGUCUCUAUAUAACUCUUUGUAACUUGAGAGGUCUAUAUAUACAAUUGAGGACUCAUCAAAAUUAUUGCUACAAUUAGACUCAAUAUACAAGAGAUCAGUUUUGAGAUUACACUUUACAAGUGGCAGUUUCUCAAGGGCUGGUUAAAAGUAAAUAGUAAAAAGAUCGACUGCCUUGUUACUUAUGAUGACUCAAUGUCAGUAAACAGAGAUUGGCUAUUAUUUUUUAAGCUAACUCAGUGUCAGUAAUAAAAUGAAAAAAUGAAAAAAAAAUGUCUUCACAAUUUUUUCAGUAUAUACAUAUAUAAACACUACACUAAUAAAGACUGACAACUUAACUUUUUUACUACUGCUAGCUGGAUAAUCAUCCAUGUCAUUUUCUAUGUUGUCUGCUUCUUCACUUUCCAAAUCAUCCUACCAUUCGGCUUCGCAUUAGGCUAAUUCUUGUUGUUCUCUUUGAGCUCUCAUUUUUUCUUUGAAUUCUUUCGCAUAAUGCUCGACAAUCUUGUUUGUUUGAUUUUGAAAUGGGAUGUUUAGAAUAAAUUUCACUACAUCUCCAACAAUUAAGAUAUGGUCUUCAAACUCAUAAAAGGCCCAAAAAAUUGUUGUUGGGAAAGAGACUUACACAACAAAAAAUGGGUUAGAUAUGAUGACAAAAUCAUUACUUAAGGAGAAGUUGAAAAGCUGUAUGCAGAAAGUGGGCUUAGUGGUGCCCCUCAAAUGAGCUGGAGGGGGAGAUUUGCAGGAUCCAUCUCAUAUUAGUGGACCAAAAUGCCCAAAGUAAAAAUAUGUUUGCUUGGUUUGUAAUUUUUACAAAGCUUUGGACUUGGAUGAAAUUUGGCAUAAAAUUUAGGUUUCGAAAACGUGACAAUAUAAAUAAGAAUAAGUGGAGGCGGCAGUAGCUUUUUGUGGAGAAGAAAAGGAUGAGAGAGAUAAGAGAGAACAGUGACGCAUUAUUAUAUUUGGGGGCUUUAGAUUUCAAUAUUUGAUUGGACGAUUAGAAAGCGAAAUUAACUCUGUUUUCUCCCAAAUUUUGAGGGUAAGUUCCUGGCAACGCCCCCUACAAUCCUUUUGUCAUGAUUUUUAUUUUAUCCUUUUGUCAGCUAUUAUUUGAUAUAUCCACUUAUUAGAGAGACAUAUAUUAUGUUGUUACUAUAAGUCAAGUAUAUUGAGAUUCUUAAUGUUGUUAGCCUCUAAUAUUAUCUAAAGAAAACUUUAUACUGUAAUCCUAUUAAUAUAGUGGAAGAUUAUAUCGGACUAUGGUCCCGUGAUUUUUCCCGCUUUGGAUUUUUCACGUAAAAAUCUGUAAUUUUAUGGUUGGUUUUUUGCUUUGGAUUAUGUUGGUUUAUUUUUUACCUAUUUAUUUGUGGUACACAUCUCAUUUUAAUCACACAAAGAGGAAAAUAAUUUUAUUUCCUCUUAAUUUACAGCUAUUUAUGUGAGUCUAUUUCCUAACAAAGUGGUAUCAGAGCGUCAGGUUUUGUAUUUUUUAUUACUUAUUUGGUUGAGAUUAAGGAGCCCUCGGCAUGCAUGAUUAAAUUAAAGUCAUAGAACUAUAGUAUUUGGAAGUCUAGGAUGGAAAAUUUACUGUACAUGAAAGAUUUACAUGAGCCCCUUGAAGGCGAAGAAGCUAGACCCGCCAAUUUAGAUGGUAAGAAGUGGGCUCAAUUAAACCAGAAGGUCAUAGGUGCUAUUAAAUUAUGGAUUGAUCAAAGUGUGUACUACCAUGUAGCGAAUGAAUCCAAGGCUAAUGUUCUUUGGAGAAAAUUAGUGACGAUUUAUGAGCAGCAGACAGCACAAAAUAAAGCUAAUCAGUUGACUACUAUGAAAAUUAUUUUAGAUGAUGAGUUACAAGAAUUAUUGUUACUUAAUUAUUUACCUGACAGUUGGAAGACAUUAGUUGUGUUAGUGAAUAAUUCAGCACCGAAUAGGAAAUUAACCUUGGAUAUGGUUACAAAGAGAAAAUUACAGCCCUAGUUGAUGGUGAUGCUUAGAAAAAUGGUGAUUACUUCAUAUCGUGAUUACUUUACAUCAUAUGUCAAUUGUAAUUAUGACCAUGUUCGGAUGGAAAAUGGAGGAGCAUCUAAGAUUGUGGGGAUAAGAUAUAUUUGCUUGGAAAUGAGCAUUGGUUGUAAGUUAUUGUUUAAAGAUGUCAGACAUAUACCAUAUAUUUGCCUUAAUUUGAUCUCUACAGGCAAGCUUGAUGAUACUGGUUAAAGUAACCAAUUUGCUAAAAGAAAAUAGAAGCUCACUAAAGGCUCCUUAGUGUUAACAAAAGGGAGAAAAGUAAACAUUCUCUAUGUGAUAGAGGCCAAGAACAAGAAAGAAUAUCUGAAUAUGGCUGUAAAAGAUUCUAACAUUGAGACAUGGCACAAAAGACUUGGUCACAUUGGUGAGAAAGGAUUAGAAACUCUUGCCAGAAAAGGAUUUCUACUGAGCUUCGCUGGUACAUCCCUUAAGACUUAUGUUCAUUGCUUAACUGGAAAGACACUGAGUAGCUUUUAAAAUUUUUUCUCCAUUAAGAAAGUCGUAGAUCCUUGAUUUGAUUCACACUUAUUUUUGGAUUAUGCAAAGUAGAUCAAUAGGGGGUACAUUUUAUUUCGUGACUUUUAUUGAUGAAUGUUCUAGAAAAGUGUGGGCUUUUCCUUUGAAAUCUAAAGACCAGGUGUUUGAUAUGUUUAAGUUCUUCUAUACUUAUGUCGAGAGAGAGACAUGAGGAAAACUAAAAUUUUUUAGGGCAGAUAAUGGUAGUGGGUACAGAGGACCAUUUUAGCAGUAUUGCAGAUCCCAUGGAAUCAGACUUGGAGACUAUGCCAAAAACCCCGCAGAAUGGUGUUGCAGAAAGGAUGAACAGAAUAAUUUAAUAAAGAUUACGUGUAUGCUUUCUGAUGCCAAGCUUCAUAAAUCUUUCUAGGCAAAGGCUAUGCGUACUGCAAUUGAUUUAAUUAACUUUUUUGCUUCAGCUCUAUUAGAAGGCGAUGUACCUAACAAAGUUUGGACUGGGAAAGAUGUUUCUUAUAAACACUUGAGAGUGUUUGGUUACAGAGUAUUCGUUCACAUUCUUCAAGAUGAGAGAUCAAAACUUGAUGAUAGAGCCAAGGAAUGCAUUUUCUUUGGCUAAGGGCAUGAAGAAUUUGGGUAUAGAUUAUGGGAUCCAAUGGCAAAGAAAUUGAUCAAAAGUAGAGAUGUUGUGAUCCUUGAAGAUCAAAUAGUUGGUGAUGUAGAAAAGAGUGAUGAGUCUCAGUCAUCUCCAGAGAUUAAUAUUAUUCUAACUUCAGUUUCUCUACUUGUAAUUCAUGAUGAUUAUAGGCGAGCUGGAGAGGAUAAUAAUGAUAGUCCAGCAGAACUAAUUGACCAGGCACCUCCAGAACCACCAGCACCACCAGUUGAGCCAAAAUUGAGAAGCUCCAUUAGAGAACGGCGACCUUCCACUAGAUAUCCUCUACAUGAAUAUAUGAUGCUUACAGAUGGAGGGGAGUCAGAAUAUUUUGAAGAAACCAUAUCUCACCAGCCUAAAAAUAAGUGGGUUAAAACCUGCAAGAGUAUAUGAAAUCCUUGUAUGAAAACUACACUUAUGACUUAAUAAAGCUUCCUAAGGGAAAUAUAGCACUGAAGAACAAAUGAGUUUACAAGUUGAAGAUUAAAAAUAACUCACAAUAACGAUACAAGGCUAGAUUGGUUGUGAAAGGUUUCGGUCAGAAGAAAUGUAUUGAUUUUGAAGAAAUAUUUUCUCCUGUAGUGAAGAUGUCUUCUAUCCGAGUUGUUCUAAGAUUAACAACUAGUUUGAAUUUGGAUAUUAAAUAGCUUGAUGUAAAGACAACUUUCUUACACGGUGACUUAGAGGAGGAAAUAUACAUAAAGCAACUUAAAGGGUUUAGUGUCAAAGGCAAAGAAGAACUUGUGUGUAAGUUGAAGAAAAGUUUGUAUGGGGUAAAACAUGCACCAAGGCAGUGGUAUAAGAAGUUUGAUUCUUUCAUGGAGAAUCAUAUAUUUAACAAGACAAUGUGUGAUCAUUGUGUUUUUGUGAAGAAGUUUGAUGAUAAUGAUUUCAUCAUUCUUUUACUUUAAGUGGAUGACAUGUUGAUUGUUGGUCAGGAUGCUAGUAAAAUUAAUAAUUUAAAGAAAGAGUUAAGCAAGUCUUUUGCAAUAAAUGACUUGGGACCUGCAAAACAGAUUCUUGGUAUGAAGAUUUCCUGCGAUUGAAAAUUUGGGAAGUUACGGUUAUCUGAAGAAGCAUAUGUUGAAAGGGUUUUUUAAAGAUUUAACAUGAGCAAGGCAAAAUCUGCUUGUUCUCCACUUGCGGGCCAUUUCAAACUUAGUUCCAAGUAUUAUCCUACAAGUGAGAAAGAGAAGUAAGAGAUGAAAAGAGUUUCUUAUGCUUCAGUAGUUGGUAGUUUGAUGUACACUAUGGUUUGUACAAGACUAGAUAUUGCUCAUAUAGUUGGUGUAUUCAGCCGGUUUCUCUCCAAUUUAGGUAAAGAGCACUAGACAGCAGUAAAGUGGAUUCUCAUAUAUCUCAAAGGCACUUCCAGAGUAUGUUUAUGUUUUGGCAGUGACAACCCUCUAUUACAUGUGUACACGGAUGUAGAUAUGGCAGGAUAUGUUGAUUCUAGAAAAUCCAUGUUAGGAUAUUUGCUCACCUUUACAAGGGGAGCAGUCUUAUGACAGUCCAGACUUCAGUAGUGUGUUGCUCUGUUUACCAAAGAAGUAAAGUAUAUUGUAAUUACUGAAGGUUGCAAAGAAACCUUGUGGAUGAAAAAUUUCCUAUAAGAGUUAGAUGUGAAGUAAGACAGUUUUAUUGUAUACUGCGACAGCCAAAGUGUCAUUGACUUGGCAAAGAAUUCGACAUACCAUUCAAAACUCAAGCAUACUGAUGUGAGGUAUCAUUGGAUACGAGACAUGCUUGAGAAGAAACAAUUACAUAUUGAAAAUAUUCACACAACAGAGAAUGGGUAAGAUAUAAUAACAAAGUCAUUACCCAAUGAGAAGAUGAAAAGUUGUAUGCCUCUAGCAGGCUUGAUGGUGUCCCUCAAAUGAGCUAGAGUAGGAAAUUUGUAGGGUUGAUCUCAUUUUAAUGGAUCAAAAUGCCUAAAGUUGAAAUAAGUUUGCUUGGUUUGUAAUUAUUGCUAGGCUUUGGGCUUGGAUGAAAUUUGGCUUAAAAUGUAAGUUUUGAAAACAUGGCUAUAUAAAUAAGAAUAAGUGGAGGCUGCAGCAGUUUUUUGUGGAAAAGAAAAAGAUGAGAGAGAGAAGAGAGAAUAGUGAUGCAAAAUUUGGGGGCUUAGAUUUCAAUUUUUGAUUGGACGAUUAGAAUGGGAAAUUAACUUCUUUUUCUCUCAAAUUUUGAGGGUAAGUUCUUGGCAUUGCCUUCUACAAUCCUACUGGUCUUGGUUUUCAUUUUAUCCUCUUGUCGGCUAUUAUUUAAGAUAUCAACUUGUUAGAGUAGGUCAAGAAUUUGAGAUUCUUGAUGUCGUUAGCCUAUAGUAUUACCUAAAGAAGAAUUUAUGCUGUAAUCUCAUUAACAUAGUGGAAGAUUAUAUUGGACUACUAUCUCAUGGUUUUUUCCGCUUUGGGUUAUGUUGAUUUUACCCUUUGUAAAUAUACAUUCUCCAGCACUCAACAGACAGGAAGAAAACUAAUAUGUGUCAGGGCAGACAAUAGUGGUAUGUACACAAGGCCAUAUGAGUAGUAUUGGAAUCCCAUGAAAUCAAACUUGAGAAGACUAUACUAACAACUCCUCAGUAGAAAUAUGUUACCAAAAGGCUGAACAGAACAAUUGAAUAAAGGAUUAUGUGUAUGCUUUCUAAUGCCAAGUUUUUUAAAUCUUUUUGGGCAGAGGCCAUGCAUACUGUAGUUUAUUUGAUUUAUGUUUCUCCUUCAACUUCAUUAGAUGGUGAUGUAUCUGAGAGAGUUUGAACCAAAAUAUGUUUCUUAUAAAUACUUGAGAGUGUUUCGUUACUGAGCAUAUGUUCACGUCCUCAAAGAUGAGAAAUUAAAACUUGACAAUAAAGCCAAAGAAUGCAUUUUCUUAAGCUAUGGACAUGAAAAUUUUGGGUACAGAUUACGCGAUCCAGUGGCAAAAAAGUUUAUUAGAAGUAGAGAUAUUAUAUUUCUUGAAGAUUAGAUGGUUAAUGAUGAGCAGAAGAGUGAUAAAUCUCAAUUAUCUCCAAAUAUUCAUAGUAUGCCAACAUCACUUUCUUUACCUAUACUUCAUGAUGAUCACGAAGGAGCUAGAGAAGCUAAUAAUGAUGGUUCAACAAAACCAGUUGAACAAGUACAUUCAAAACCAUCUACACCACCAGUUGAGCUGGAAUUGAGGAGAUCCACUAAAGAACGACGAACUUCUACUAGAUAUUCUCUAUAUGAGUAUGUGAUGCUUACAGAUGGAGGGGAGUGUUGUGCAAAUUUUAAUGUACUCGCAAGCGCACGAAUCUAUUGUAGUAUAGAUCAAUGGUGACGAGUGUCGAUCCCACGAGGAGGUGGAUUUUAAUUGUGUGUAGAAUUAAUUUUGUAAAUGGGUGAUUGGAUUUGUGGUGGAAAUGAAUUGGAAUAUGCUAAAACUUAAAUUAAAAUGGCGAGAAUAAAUUCGAAAAUUAGAAUUGAAAUGGCAAGAAUAAAUUGAAGAGAAUUCUAUUGAAAUGAUGUACUUGGGUAUCUGGAUCCGUAUCAACAUGCAUCAUGGGCUAAAUAAUCCUUAUUAAUGCCAGUUAAAUCAUGAGGGGGGAAUCCACACCUCAUGAACCACGCUCUAAUCAAUAUAGUGCUAAGGGCUUAUCGUGCCAAAUAAUAAUAACCUUGUACUAGAGGGCCGGUGAAACCAAGGCGGUACUAGACAAGAUUAGUAUUAUUUGUCAACGAGAAGUCAAACAUCCACAAAAAUUAGAGGGGAAGAGAAAGUAAAUUUACCAAAUCAAGCCCAUGACACAUGUUGAGACUUCACCUUCAACCCAAGCUUAAAAAAAAAUUAGCCACUCAUAAUUGAACUAGGGGUAAAAUGGAAAUUUAUUAAAAUACGUAGAAAAUACAAGAUGGAGAAGGAAUUACAGAGAAUGGAUCCCAAAAAUGGAUUCAGAGAUAUCCAAUUAAGGGGGGAAGCCCCCUUUUUAUAGAUACAUUGAGUAAAUCAUGGUCAUCGGAUUAAAAACAGUUUGGACGCUCAAGAUUGUGCUACGUCAUCAGUCAACAGUACGCGGUUUGACCAUGUGGAUCAACAAUAACACGGUUUGACCCGGGUGAACAGUGACGCAGUUUGGUUGAAAAUAAUCCUGUGUGAUGCAUGUACCGUAUGCGAGAUUUUUCGUCCACUGAUAUGUUGCCACGUCACCAUCAACAGUACAUAAGAAUUUUAGCCCAACAGGAUCGUGACACUUCAUCAGUCAAUGCCACAUCAUCGGUCAAUGCCACGUCAUCGGUCAAUGCCACAUCAUCGAUCCGUCUAUGUGAACAGUGUCAUGAACAGUAACGUAGACAGUACCGUAUACGUGAAUAGUACCGUACAUGUGAAUAGUGCCAUUUUUCCUUUUAUACUCCUCCUAAGGUUUUCGACCGUCCUGAGUUCAAAAGUGAUGUCCGUUUUGCCGUCUGAUCUCUCGUUUAUUGUAAAAUGAUCAUGAUGCCCCUAAAAUAGAUAAAAUACUUAAUUAAAAUCAAACACACAUAAUUAAAUUGCAAGAAGCUUAAAUACAUAAAAGUAAGGGUUGUUAGUAAAACUUGAAAUGUAAAAUGAUGAUUUUCUCCUUUAUAAAUAUACAUUUUCUAACACUCAACACGCCCACCAACCAGCUUAUUGCUAAUCCCUAGCAAAUAAAGCGAAAACGAAAUUCAAAUCCAAAAUGAUUUUUUUUUUAAAUAAAAACACUCGUGUUUAUUCAAUCAGAUUAAUGAUAGCAAUCAAAUAAAAGUAUAAGCAUUAUCUCCAGUCUAAAGAAACAUCACACCCACAUCAACCAUCCACAUGAAUCAGCCCAGUAGACUUUGUUAUAGCUACUUUCAAGAAUGACAUGUCAAACCCCAAAAUCUCACUGGAAGUAGUGACACUCUCACAAAGAAAUUAAACCCAAUAAAAAUAGUCACUCCAAUGAAUGGUAAUUGAGAGAAAAUAAAAAAGAAGUGAUAUCACAUGCUCUCACCAAGAUGAAAGAAAUAUGCCCUCAGCUUAGAAAUAAUACGAUCUCAAGUCACACAAAAAUGCUAGUCAACCCAUUUUAUUUAUCUCUUUUUCUUUUAUUAUUAUGCACCACUACAUCUUUUUAGCCCAUAUAACUAACUUCUACUUCAGACUAUAGUUCCCUAAAAUCAAGAAGGACUUUUAUUAGGACGUAACGUAGGUUAGGGAUAUGGCUAAUAAAGAAGGGAAAUAAGGAAAACAAAAUGUAUGUUUAAGAAAAAUGCAGAGAAUUUUUUUUUUUUUUUUUGCAAGGUGAAUUUCACUUAUUAUUGUUAUUUUUAUUCUUUUGAAACAACAACUUUUGUUUUUGUUUUUGUUUUGUUUUUUUUUAUUUUUUACUUUUAUUUGGCAUAACUUCACUAAACAACAUAAUUAGUUACAUUUUCUCAAACAUAAAUAGGUGAUGGAACUUAUAAGACAUCAGGUAAUACUCCAAAUCGGAGUGGGUCAAGAUGAUAAGUUUAACAAAUAAAAGGUUUUUUUUUUUUUAAAGGCUCAAAAUGGUUAACUAUGGAUAUUUGAUAAAAGGGAUGGCUAGAAAGGCUCAAACGGAUCAAAGAUGGCAUUUCCAUCGUCUUUUAGGGCUCUAAAUAACCUUCCAUAUCUACUAGUUAGAUGGACCUCCAAAUGUAGCAACACACAUUUUUUUUUCUUUUUCUUUUUAGUUUUACCAUUUUUUUUAAAGGGUUAACUCAAAAGAAAUCUAGAGAUCGUGUAUAAAAUAAUAAACUGCUAAGCUGUAUAGAGAAUGGGCAAAAUGGUUACUCUCCAAGAAAAUGAUAGGCUAAACAACUCACUUGGCACUUAUUUAUGACAUGUUCAUUCCUUCAAGCAACUUAUAUUUGUCUCCGACAUCAACAUGUAAAGUAGCAAACAUAGCGUAACAUCACUUAAGACCAAAGAUAAUACAAAUACUAAAAUUUAAAAUUAAUCAUGUCAUCCAAUGUUAAAACAAAUAACACAAUUUUUUUUUAAACAACAUUCUACCCCCCAACCUAUUCUAAACAUGAAAGGAAAAUAUGCAUGCAGAAAUAUGAAAAUGAUGUAGAAAAAUUAAUUAGAAAAAGAAAUUUUUUUUUUUUAACUAAGAAGAUGCAUUUCUAGAGGCACUGCACUCCAUAUUUAGCCAUCUUCGACUCAAAAAUUUGAAAAUAUAUAUUUAUAAAGGAGAAAGAGGAAGAAAACGGUUUUUUUUUUUUUUUUUAAACGAUGAAGAUGCGUUUCUAGAGUAACUACACUCCAUAUUCAGCCAUCUUCAACACAAAACGUUAGCAACAGUUAGUUUCUACAACAAAAAAUCAGUAAAAACUUAACCAAGAUUCCACAAUUGUCGACUAGUCCCUCCCCCCAACCAGAACGAAACAUUGUCCUCAAUGUUUUAAAGGAAAGAAGUAGAGUUUAGAAGAUAUCACCUGGGUGGUGCAACACAGAAGAAAAUAUUUACAGGCGGAGAGUUAAAUCUAAUUUGUACUUCUUACUGCGGCUACUGUUACCAUCAUUAUUUGGUCGCUCUAACACAAAGGUCCAGGGGUCUGGCUCCGGUUUAUAAGCUUGUAACAUAUCAAGUAGCUCAUUAGCAGUGUGAGCACAAAUAAAUAGUUUUUUCACAUUAGAAUGAAUGAAAUAGUUUUUUAUUGCAUGGUUAAGAAAUGCGAUAAAGCCAUCAUAAAAGUUACUGACAUUUAACAAACCGAUGGGUUUCUGGUGGAUGUGCAGAUGGGCCCAAGAUGCUAGUGUGAUAAGUGCCUCUAGUGUUGCAAGAUCUCCUGGAAGGAAAAUAAAAGCAUCAGCAUGAUUAAGCAUUUCAGUUAUUCUUUCUUGCAUACCUGAGACGACUAACUCUUCUCCAGUUGAUGAGUCAGACGAACUGCCCAAUGGUUUUAGGACUCUUGGGAUGAUGCCUAACACUUGACUUCCUCUGAUAAAAGCUGCUUUUGAGACCAUUUUUGAUAACCCUCGGUUACCUCCUCCAUACACCAAGUGUAAUUUUCUCGCUGCUAUGCUUCGACCAAGAUCUAUGGCUGCCUCAACGAACUCUUUAUGUUUGCCAUAGGUAAAUCCAGAAAGCACACAAAUGUUCUUGAAUUGUCUAUUGGGAGUAGCUGCCAUUGGGAUACUUCUUAAAAAUAAUUUUUGAGUGUUUGACAAAAGAAAUCACAUUUAAGAGUCUUGGUGACAGUGGGUCACAGCUGUGUAUGAGGUAGCAUGUCAGUGUCAAAUAACGCGUAAAGCACAUGGCUCGCGAGUCAAAAAGGAAACAGUAAAAAGCAAAAAGCAAACAGUAAUAAAAUUAUUAAAGACAAUAAUGCAAACAAUAAAACAACGGUGAAAUAAAAUAACAGUAAAGUAAAAGGAUAUUUACAGGUAGUUGCGACUGUAGCUCACAUCAUCCUCUGGUUUUACGUCCAGAAACGGCUUGAACGCCCUCUAUGGGUCGAGGAUAGGCUUCCCAUCCAGUUUUCUUAUAAACUGGCAAACAGGGUCGUUUAUAGUCAGAUUCCCGAGACUAUAUCGUGCAUGCUCUUUCUGGAAUAAUGGCCAUAACUGGAGAAUCGCUCCUUGCACAUAUCCACUGGGAUGCGUUUCAAGAGACAGAAAGAUAUCAUCCAAUGACUCCUUAUUCAAGCCAUCCCUAAUGAAUUGAAUCUUAUCUUCUCUGUUAUCAGACAUCAUUCCUAAAGAACAUGGGUUUCUAUCGCAACUCAUUCUGGCACACUUAUGACAAGCAACAGAAAUUCUUCGAGCUCAUCGUUUUCUUGCAUAAUUUCCUUUACCACAACCAGGCAUGUAUGCAAUAAAUUUAGGAGGUAACUCACCUGCUGAUCGUACUUUAGCCUCGAUUAACUAACGGAUAUCAGCAGGUAUGUUAUUCCUCAUGAGUAAUCGCAUGCGUUCAGACCGAGCUUUAUAGAUCGUAAGGAGGGCAUUCUAAGGAAGUGAAGGGAAUCGCUUGUGAAGCUUUGCUAGAAUCUCGUUUCUAUCUAUACGGUCGCCUCAGAAUAUCAGUUAUUAUGGGAAACUGAAGUAACCGACUUGAUUGUCACGGAGUACCGUUAUCCGCCACUUCACCGGGGUAACAAACUAAAGCACACAAACAGAAAAACAAAUUAAAACACACAAAGAAAAUUAAAAUCGUCCUCUUAUUGAAUUUACCUCAAGCUCCAACUGGAUGUCGUAAACACUUCUCUCAAUAUCUCUGAGUUGGCUUUCUAAACCCUCAACAUAGGCUACUAACUCUGGUGGUUAUAGAGCCCAAAUGCGAUGUGUUUUACAAAAUUAAAUCUGCCUUUUGAGAUGAGUUUUGACACGUUGAAGUGCUUUAAGAAUGUUCAGAAGGAACGGUCUAAGUAAGGUACUCAUGAUUAAAAAUGAUAAGAGAAAAUUUAAUAGUUAAACAAACACACUUAUGCAAAAAAUAAUUUCAAUUAGCAAAAGAAUAAUAUAAGAAAAGAAAAAAAAAUCAAAUCACCGAAAAGAAAAAAAAAUCAAUUCAAAUCUGGUGGGUCACUCAAAUUUAUUUCGGUGUCUUCUCCAUGUGGUUGGUGCUCUAGAUAAUGCUUUAAUCUUUGACCAUUAACUUUAAAUGUGACACCGUUCUUUGGGUCCUUAAUUUCAAUCGCCCCAUGUGGAAAAAUAGUAUGAACAAUAAAUGGACCAGACCAACGAGAGCGUAACUUACCUGGGAAUAGGUGCAAGCAAGAAUUGAACAAAAGCACUUUCUGACCUAGAGUGAAAGAUUUUCUCAUAAUUUGCUUGUCGUGGAAGACUUUCAUCCGUUGCUUGUAAAUCUUGGCAUUUUCGUAUGCAUCAUUGCGAAUUUCUUCAAGUUCUGCCAGCUGUAAUCUUCUUUCUGAGCUGGCUUGCUGCAUGUCAAAAUUGAAUUUCUUGAUAGCCCAAUAUGCACGAUGCUCGAGUUCCACAAGUAGGUGGCAAGCUUUUCCAUACACUAGCCUGUAGGGUGACAUCCCAAUCGGGGUCUUGAAAGCCGUUCUAUAUGCCCAUAAUGCAUCAUCAAGUCUUAAUGACCAAUCUUUCCUGUCUGGCCUCAUCGUCUUUUCUAAUAUGUGCUUUAUUUCUCGAUUGGAUAUCUCAACUUGGCCACUGGUUUGCGGAUGAUACGGAGUCGCCACUUUGUGUGUGAUUGAAUACUUUGUCAAAAGAGCUUUGAAUGCUUUGUUACAAAAGUGAGCACCACCAUCAAUGAUUAUUGCUCGAGGGAAUCCAAAGCGUGAGACAAUGUUGCUUUUCAAAAAUCCUAUCACCACUUUGUGAUCAUUGGUUCUACAUGGAAUUGCUUCUACCCAUUUUGAGACGUAGUCAACACCAACCAAUAUGUAUUGAUGGCCAAAAGAAGGGGGAAAUGGUCCCAUAAAGUCGAUACCCCAUACGUCAAAAAUCUCAACCACUAAAAUUGGAUUUAGUGGCAUCAUGUUCCUUCGUGUAAUGCUCCCCAUUCGUUGACACCUAUCACAUGAAGAACAGAAAGUGUAAGCAUCUCGAAAUAUAGUUGGCCAAUAGAAACCACAUUGUAAAACUUUAGUCGCUGUAUUGUUAGCGCUAAAAUGGCCUCCACAAGCUUGUUCAUGGCAAAAUGAAAGAAUAUUAUGAAUUUCAUUUUCUCGGACACAUCGUCUAACAAUUUGAUAUGCACAAUACUUGAACAAAUAUGGGUCAUCCCAAAAGAAAUUCUUUAUUUCCGCAAAGAAUUUAGCCUUGUCUUACUUGGUCCAAUGCUCUGGAAGUUUACCUGUAACAAGAUAAUUAACUAUAUCAGCAUACCAAGGUAAUACUUCCACACUCAUUAAUUGUUCAUCUGGAAAUGACUCAUUCAAUAUUAAUGGCUCUGUAAUUGUGUCAAAAUAGAGACAAGAGAGAUGGUCAGCCACAACAUUCUAUGUGCCUUUCUUAUCCUUGAAUUCCAAGUCAAAUUCCUGCAAAAGUAACACCCAACGAAUUAGUCUAGCUUUUGCAUAUUUCUUUGUGAGAAGAUAUUUAAGAGCAGCAUGAUCUGUGAAUAUAAUUAUUUUACAACCAAUGAGAUAAGAUCAAAAUUUUUCCAAUGCAAACACUACUGCUAACAUUUCUUUUUCAGUAGUUGAAUAGUUCAACUGUGCAUCAUUCAAUGUCAUACUAGCAUAGUAAAUAACAUGAGGAAUUCGAUCAACUCUUUGUCCUAAUACUGCUCCUACUGCAUAAUCAGAUGCAUCACACAUGAGCUCAAAUGGUAAGCUCCAGUUUGGGGCUUGAAUGAUGGGUGAUGAUGUCAACAAUUGCUUUAAUUUUUCAAAAGCCAUAAGACAUGAAUCAUUAAAGAUAAAAAGUACAUCCUUAGCAAGUAAAUUGCAUAAGGGUCUAGAAACUUUGCUAAAAUCUUUAAUGAAACGUCUAUAGAAACCAGCAUGCCCAAGGAAAGAUCUUACUUCUCUGACUGUUUUAGGUGGAGGAAGAUUAGAAAUGAGAUCCACCUUGGCUUUGUCAACCUCAAUACCUUUGCUCGAAAUGAUAUGACCGAGAACAAUACCUUGUUUUACCAUAAAAUGGCACUUCUCCCAAUUCAAGACUAAGUUCUUCUCGGUACAUCUCUGCAGAACUAGCGUUAGAUGAUGUAAACAUUGAUCAAACGAAUCACCAAAGACAGAAAAGCCAUCCAUAAAGACUUCAAGGAAUCGUUCAACCAUAUCAGAAAAAAUGCUUAACAUGCAUCGUUGAAACGUAGCAGGUGCAUUACAUAAUCCAAAUGUCAUUCUCUUAUAUGCAAAAGUGCCAAAAGGGCAAGUGAAAGUAGUUUUCUCUUGAUCUUUUGGUGCUAUGGGAAUCUAAGUAGCCAUCUAUAAAGCAAUAAAAUUCAUGGCCUGCUAAUCUAUCAAGCAUUUGAUCGAUAAAUAGUAAAGGAAAAUGGUCUUUACGUGUGACAGAAUUCAACUUUCUAUAAUCAAUACAUACACGCCAUCUUGUAGUUACUUUAGUUGGUAUCAAUUCAUUAUCAGCAUUCGUAACUACUGUGACUCCUGACUUUUUGGGGACAACUUGUACAGGACUGACCCAUGAACUAUCAGAAAUUGGGUAAAUGAUACAUGCGUCUAAUAGCUUAAGGACUUCAGUUCUAACAACUUCUUUCAUAUUAAGAUUUAACCGACGUUGCAUUUCCCUAGUAGAUUUAACAUUUUCAUCAAGGUGAAUGUAAUGCAUGCAGUCUACUGGGUUUAUACCUUUUAUGUCUGCUAUGGUCCAUCCUAAUGCUUCUUUGUGCUCUUUUAAAACAUCCAACAACUUACCUUUUUGUUCGUCAUUGAGGGAUGAUGAGAUGAUUAUCGGCAGAGUGCUUUCUUCUCCCAAAAAUGCAUAUUCCAAAGUGUUGGGCAAUUGUUUGAGCUCAAGUUUCGGUGGUGAUUCUGAUGAUGGGAUGAAUUUCUUUUCUGAUGGUGCUAGUUGUUCUACUCUUGACUUCCAUUUAUUAGUGUCCAUAGAUGGUGAUGAGUCAAGUAGGGCGUUGACCUCAUCGACCGAUCUGUCAACAUCAAAAUCAAAACCAAAGUGAGUUAAACAUGUUUGUAAAGGAUCAUCACUAAGGUUUGAAACAAAAGUGUCAUCAACUAAUGCUUCAAUUAAAUCCACAUCUACAAUUCCGUCAUCUGCAUUGUGAGGUUGCCUGGCAAUGUUGAAGAUGUUCAGCUCCAUAGUCAUGUUGCCGAAGGACAACUGCAUAUUUCCAAUCCUGCAUUGAAUGUGAGCAUCCGCAGUUGCCAAGAAAGGUCGGCCUAGAAUAAUGGAGAUGUGCUUCCUUGAAUCCUGUAUUGGUUGAGUGUCAAUUACAAUGAAAUCAACAGGAAAAUAAAACUUGUCUACCUGGAUAAGCACGUCCUCCACAAUACCACGAGGUAUUUUCGUGGACCGAUCUGCAAGCUGUAACACCACUGGAGUUGGGUGUAAUUUUCCCAGUCCAAGUUUCACGAAUACAGAGUAAGGCAAAAGAUUUACACUUAUUCCUAAAUCCAACAAAGCAUUCUCAAUUGUGUGGUUCCCUAUACUACAUGAGAUAGUGGGGGAGCCUAGGUCUUUGCAUUUUAAAGAAAUUUUAUGUUGGAGUAUAGAACUAACGUUUUCUGUUAAAAAUGCCUUCUUUUGAACAUGCAUAUUUCUCUUUUUAGUACAAAGGUCUUUAAGAAACUUGGCAUAAGAUGGAACUUGUUUAAUUACAUCAAGUAAAAGGAUGUUAACACUUACCUGUUUGAAGAUUUCAAGAAUCUCAUCUGUGGAUUUUUCCUUUUUUCCUUUAGCUAACCUUUGAGGAAAUGGAGCUUUCGGAACAUAUUCUCGUGGGUUGGUUUCUUCUCUCUCCUCCUGUGGUGAGUCCUCAGCAUUUACAGGUACAAUUUGAUUUUCUUUUGUCACUGGCAUCUCCACUUUGUUGUCGACUUCUUUUCCUUUUCGCAAGGUCAUGACGGCUUUGAUUUCUCCAUGCUGCUGUGGUGAACUGGUACUUGCUUCAUGCACUCCUUUAGGAUUAGGUACUGGUUGACUUGGAAACUUGCCUUUCUCAACGGUCAUUGCCAAGGUCUGAACUGAAGAAGCAAGUUGUCCCACCAUCUUCUCGGGGCUUGAAAUUGAUUGGGCUUGUGAGUUAAAGCCUGCUCUCAAUUCAUUUCGUAGUCCAUCAAUGGUGCGGUUCUGUUGCUCAAUCGUGGAGUGAGUAACAUUCCUGAAAUUCUGGAAUGCAUCCUCCCAUGGUCUAGGUUGAGAGUGGUUCUGGUUCUGAUUGUAUGGUCUAAAUGGUGGCUGAGAGGCUUGAGGAUUUUAAGGAAUUGGUUGCAUUGGUGGAGCUGGAGCUGUUGGUCCAUUCUGUUGGAAUCCUUGAGACCAUGAAAAAUUGGGAUGGUCUCUCCAUCCCGGGUUAUAUGUGUUGGAGUAUGGGUUGUAAUUUGAUGGUUUUCUCAUUACACCUAUGGCAUUGGCUUGAUCUGAGUAUGAGUCAUGGUCAUGUGGCUCUGUUGAUUUAGCAGUUGAUAACGAUUCUAUUUGUCGAGAGAGACCUUCAAUUAUCUCCUUGACUUCUUUGAUUUCUGAACUUGACUCGCCAAUGUGAACCUCAUUUACUCCUUUAAUUCUUCUAGUAUUCCUGAGUGAUCGACUCCGUUGUUGGGAAUUAUCCGCUUGUGGCUGGAAGAAUUCCCAAAUCUCUGUUGCGCUUUUUGACAUUAGCUCUCCUCCACUUGUUGCCAUUAGACAUUCUUGCACAUUUGGCAAUAAUCUCUCCAAAAAGUAUUGGCAUUGGUGUCAUUUCUCGUACCCAUGAUGUGGACACUUCAAGAGUAGCCCAUUAAAUCGCUCCCAUGUUUCGAAAAACUGCUUAUCCUCUCUCUGGGUAAACUCUGAGAUUUCCCUGCGAAUAGCAUUAGUUUUAUGCACUGGGAAAUAUUUAUUCAAAAAUUUUGUAACCAUUUGUUCCCAUGAUGCAAUUCUAUUAGCAGGCAAUGUAUUAAGCCAUGAACGAGCUCUAUCCUUUAAAGAAAAUGAGAAUAAUCUAAGUUUUACAUCAUCAUCUGAAAAAUUCUCAUAUUUAAAUGUUUGACAAAUAGCAUGAAAAUCAUUCAAAUGAUUAUAUGGGUCCUCAUUUUCUAAGCCAUAGAAUGUGGGGAGACAAUUUAGCACACUAGGUUUUAGUUCAAAGCUUCUAGCAGCUACAUUUGGGUAUCUUAUACAUGAUGUGCUCAAAUUAGCUAAGGGACUAAAAUAGUCCUUAAAUGGCCUCUCUUGUUGUGCUUGUAAAUCCAUUCCAAAUUUAUUUUUAAUGUGCUUAUGUGUGCGAAGUAUUUUUUCUAGUUCAAGAUCUAUAGGUUCAAGAUUAGGUAAUAAUGACCUACGACCAUGCAUGCAAAAUAAAAUAAAAAUAAAAAUAAAGAUGGGAACAAAACAAAUAAAAAUAAAUAAGAGGGAGAAAUUACGAUACUAACCUUAUUGCGCUAUUACAACCUUACUAUAAAAAUACAAAAAAAUAAAUACCUGAAAUAAAUUAACUAAAAAUUAAAUUAAUAAGAUAAACAAAAAUUACAAAGAAAAAUAAAUUAAAAAUUAAAUUACAGAAUUUUAAAGAAGAGAAAAAGAAAAGAAAUACUAACCUUUAAAUGCGGAUUCAAUUUUUUUAUUUAUAAAAAAAUACAAGAAAACAAAUAAAAGAAAUUAUUCACAAAAAUUAAUUCUAUGAAUUAAAAUUACUUACCUCCCCGGCAACGGCGCCAAAAACUUGUUGUGCAAAUUUUAAUGUACUCGCAAGCGCACAAAUCUAUUGUAGUAUAGAUCAAUGGUGACGAGUGUCGAUCCCACGAGGAGGUGGAUUUUAAUUGUGUGUAGAAUUAAUUUUGUAAAUGGGUGAUUGGAUUUGUGGUGGAAAUGAAUUGGAAUAUGCUAAAACUUAAAUUAAAAUGGCGAGAAUAAAUUCGAAAAUUAGAAUUGAAAUGGUAAGAAUAAAUUGAAGAGAAUUCUAUUGAAAUGACGUACUUGGGUAUCUGGAUCCGUAUCAACAUGCAUCAUGGGCUAAAUAAUCCUUAUUAAUGCCAGUUAAAUCAUGAGGGGGGAAUCCACACCUCAUGAACCACGCUCUAAUCAAUAUGGUGCUAAGGGCUUAUCGUGCCAAAUAAUAAUAACCUUGUACUAGAGGGCCGGUGAAACCAAGGCGGUACUAGACAAGAUUAGUAUUAUUUGUCGACGAGAAGUCAAACAUCCACAAAAAUUAGAGGGGAAGAGAAAGUAAAUUUACCAAAUCAAGCCCAUGACACAUGUUGAGACUUCACCUUCAACCCAAGCUUGAAAGAAAAUUAGCCACUCAUAAUUGAACUAGGGGUAAAAUGGGAAUUUAUUAAAAUACGUAGAAAAUACAAGAUGGAGAAGGAAUUACAGAGAAUGGAUCCCAAAAAUGGAUUCAGAGAUAUCCAAUUAGGGGGGGGAAGCCCCCUUUUUAUAGAUACAUUGAGUAAAUCAUGGCCAUCGGAUUAAAAACAGUUUGGACGCUCAAGAUUGCGCCACGUCAUCAGUCAACAGUACGCGGUUUGACCACGUGGAUGAACAGUAAUACGGUUUGACCCGGGUGAACAGUGACGCGGUUUGGUUGAAAAUAAUCCUGUGUGAUACAUGUACUGUACACGAGAUUUUUCGUCCACUGAUAUGUUGCCACGUCACCAUCAACAGUACAUAAGAAUUUUAGCCCAACAAGAUCGUGACACCUCAUCAGUCAAUGCCACAUCAUCGGUCAAUGCCACGUCAUCGAUCCGUCUAUGUGAACAGUGUCAUGAACAGUACCGUAUACGUGAAUAGUACCGUACAUGUGAAUAGUACUAUUUUUCCUUUUAUGCUCCUCCUAAGGUUUUCGACCGUCCUGAGUUCAAAAGUGAUGUCCGCUUUGCCGUCUGAUCUCUCGUUUAUUGUGAAAUGACCAUGAUGCCCCUAAAAUAGAUAAAAUACUUAAUUAAAAUCAAACACACAUAAUUAAAUUGCAAGAAGCUUAAAUACAUAAAAGUAAGGGUUGUUAGUAAAACUUGAAAUGUAAAAUGAUGAUUUUCUCCUUUCUAAAUAUACAUUUUCUAACACUCAACAGGGAGCUAAAAUGCUUUGAAGAAGUUAUGUCCCAUCAGUUAAAAGUGAGUGGGUUAAAGUUAUGCAAAAAGAGAUGAAAUCCUUGAAUUAGAACCAUAUUUAUGACUUAACAAAUCUUCUUAAAAAAAAAGCACUAAAGAACAAAUGAGUUUAGAGAUUGAAGACUGAAAAUAACUCACAACAGCAGUACAAGGCUAAAUUGGUUGUGAAGGGUUUCGGUAAGAAGAAAUGUGUCAAUUUUGAAGAAAUAUUCUCUCCUGUGGUGAAGAUAUUUUCUAAGUUAUUCUGGGAUUAGUAGCUAGCUUGAAUUUGGAGAUUAAACAGCUCGAUGUAAAGACAGCUUUCUUGCACAAAGCCUCAAAAGAGGAAAUAUACAUGGAGCAACCUAAAGUAUUCAUUGUCAAAAGUAAAGAAAAACUUGUGUACAAGUUAAAGAAAAGUUAUAUACGCUGAAACAAGCACUAAGACAAUGGUACAAGAAGUUUGAUUCUUUUAUGGAGAAUCAUAGUUCAUCAAGACUAUGUCUGAUUAUUGUGUUUUUGUGAAGAAGUUUAGUUAUAAUGAUUUUAUUAUUUUUUUGCUCUAUGUGGAUGACAUGUUCAUUCUUGGCUAGGAUGUUAGUAAAAAUGAUAAUUUAAAAAACAGUUUAGUAAGUUUUUUAUAAUGAAGGACUUAGGAUCGGCAAAACAGAUUCUUGGCAUGAAUAUUUCCUGUGAUAGAAAAUCUAGGAAGUUAUGGUUAUCUCAAGAAGCACGUGUUGAAAGAGUUCUUGAAAGAUUUAACAUAGGUAAGGUAAACUAUAUUCAUUCUCCACUCGUAAACCAUUUCAAGCGUAGUUCUGAACAUUGUCCUAUAAGUGAGAAAAUGAAGCAAGAGAUGAGAGGAGUUUCUUAUGAUUCAGCAGUUAGUAGUUUGAUAUAUGUCAUGGUUUGCAUAAGGGUAGAUAUGGCUCAUACAGUUGGUGCAGUUAGUCAGUUUCUUUAUAAUUAUGGCAAAGAACACUAUAUAGCAGUGACGUGGAUUUUCAGAUAAUUUAGAAGCACUUCCAAGGCAUGUUUACAUUUUGGUGGUGACAAAUUUAUAUUACAAGUGUACACAGAUACAAAUAUAGUAGGAAAUAUUGAUUCUAGAAAAUCUCUAUCAUGAUAUCUGCUUACCUUUGUAGGGGAAGCAGUUUCAUGGUAGUCCAAGCUUCAACAAUGUGUUCUUUUGCCUACCACUGAAGAAGAGUAUAUUAUAAUCACUGGAGAUUGCAAACAAAUCUCGUGGAUGAAAAAUUUCCUAAAAGAGCUCGGUGUGAAACAAAAUAGCUAUAUUAUGUACUGCGAUAGUUAGAGUGUCAUUCAAUUGGCAAAGAAUUCAACAUACCAUUUCAAAUCCAAGCAUAUUGAUGUGAGGUAUCAUUGGAUAUGAGACACGCUUUAAAAGAAACAAUUACAGCUUGAGAAUAUUCAAACAAUAGAGAAUGGGUUAGAUAUGAUGACAAAGUCAUUACCCAAAGAGAAGUUGAAAAGCUAUAAAAAGAAAGCGGGUUUAGUGGUGUCCCCUCCAUAAUCUGGAGGAGGAGAUUUGUUAGAUCCAUCUCAUUUAAGUGGCUUAAAAGGCUAAAGUCCAAAGGUUUGCUUGACGCACAAUUAAUAUUAAGUUUUGGACUUGGAUGAAAUUAGCCAAAGAAUGAUAUACAAAAAAGAAAAAGAGAAGCAAGCAGCGGCAAUGAUAGAAAGAAGAUGAAAAAGACGAGAAAGAAAGACAGUGGCGCAAUAGUUGUUUUUAGGGGUAAGGGUUUUAAUCUUUGAUUCGACAAUCGGAAGACGAUUUUAACUCUAUUUUCUCUCAAAUUUAGAGGAUAAAUACAUGGCAUCGCCCUAUACAAUUCUACUGGUCUUGAUUUUUGUUUUAUUAUCUCAUUGUCUGUUAUUUAAGAUACCUACUAGUUAGAGAGAUAGAUAUUAGGUUGUUAUUGUAAGCCAAAAUUAUUAAAAUUUUUACUGUUGUUGGCCUCUAGUGUUACCUAGAGAAGAAUUUAUACUGUAAUCUUAUUAUUAAUAUAGUGGAAGGUUAUAUCGGACUACGAUCCUGUACUUUUUUCUAAUUUGAAUUUUCUACGUAAAAAAAUGUCUCUCUUGUAGUUAGUUUGUUGCUUUGGAUUAUGUUGGUUUAUUUUCUACUUAUUUAUAUAUGGUACACAUCCCAUUUUAAUCACGCAAAGAGGGAAAGAGUUUGUUUCUUCUUAAUUUGCAGCAACUUGUGUGGGUUGCUUUCCUAACAAUAAGAAAUAUAAUAAGCAUAAGAAACGAUAUAGUCAACAUUAGUAGAAAAUUCUAUAAAAUAAAAAUAAAAAUAAAAAUUUCCAAAGUAAAAAAACAAUACACAAAAAGUUAGAAAAGCCUUUAAAAAAAAUAAAAGAAUCUAUAAACGAAAUAAGACUUGUAAAUAUUUUUUUUAAUAUGGUAAAGAAAGACACAUUAAACUACAUUGUCCUAAAAAUAAAAAGGUCAAUCAAUUAAAAAUAGAUAGAUAUAAUAUAAAAAGAACAAGUUUUAGAUAUAGAAGAAAAAUUUAAUAUAGAUGAAAUAUCAGAUAACGAUAAUAUAUGUAUUCUCAGUGACCAAAGUAGUGAAUCAGAAACUAAUAGUAACUCAGAAGUAUAAUUAGAUUUAGAAAUCAAUGUCUUAAAAACUUAUACAUCAUUUUUUGGUAAAAGUUGUACAGCUUGUAAUAGAAAUUUUGAAUUAGGAUAUACAGACACAAAUACAGAUAAAUUCUUUUGUAAUAGUUGUAAAGAUAAACAAUAAAAUGAUAAAAUAGUAAAUAAAUAGAGCAAUAAGUGAAUUAAUAAAUAUAGCUAUUGUUGUGAUAAUUUUAAUGUACUCGCAAGCGCACGAAUCUAGAGAUAGAAUAGUGGUAACGAGGUCGAUCCCACAGGGAUUGUUAUAAAUUAAAAAGUCUAAUUUAAAUAUAAAAUUAAUAUUAAUUCUAACCUAGUUGAGCAAAUUGAGUUUUUAAGAAAAUUAAACCAAUUAAACUAAGGAAGCAAUUAAAAUAAAGGAGAAUUCAAUAAGAUAAGAAUUACCAAGGUUUCAGAAUCCACCACUAUUCAACUAGUAAUUAUCUAAUUAUUAAUUAAUCCCCAAUUUUAGAGUGACAACUCGAAAUCAAUCUAUGUCAUCUCAUGGAUAUAACAAUUAAGCCCAAGUAAUUAAAUCUAAUGUAGGUUCUUUUUCUGCUUAAUAAUAUGACAUCUAAGCAUCCCAUGUAAACAUAUUGAAUAACAAAGAGUCAAAGUUUCCUAAGCACUCUAUGUAAACAAUUUAAUGAAAAACAUAAAAUCAAAGAUAAUCAUGUAUAAACUUUAAAGAUCCAAGCAUAGAUUUAAUCGAAUAUUAAUCCUAACAAUCAAUAAUGCAUGACAGAAUUGAUGAAAAGAUUUUAAUAACAUCCAAUUAAUCAUGUGAAAUAAAAACCAUAAUUAUUAAAGAACAUAUAUAGGGAAUUAAUUAAAUAAAAAGAUAAUUAUUUCAUUGAAUAGAGUUUCAUCAUUAACCUCAGUAUAAGAAAAUUAGCUAGACAUACUUGAAUUGGGAGCAACAAAAGAAAUAAAAUCAGCCAUGGGAAGCCGAAAUAUUGCUGCUGCAACUGCUCUCUUCCAGCCUUUUUCUCCUCCUCUGGCGAUUACCCCCCCAAAAGCCAAAAGCUUAGCUUUCUUAUAUAGCCUUUAAAAUGGGCCCCACCUUGUCAAUCCUAAAGCAAAAGGGUUUGGUCUUUUAUUUGUUUUGCUUCACUCACGUGGCCACCAAUUAAGCUUGCACUAGGAUUCCUUUUUCCAAUUGUAAAAGCUAAGUGUGGGCCCCUUUAAGUUGCUUUCCAUGCAUUACAAGUCUAGGUCACUUGAUUAAUUGAAAUUCUUUUUUAGUGCAAAUUACUCUUGGCUUCAUAUGCUAUAAACUCUUAAUUGUGUCACGGCUUUGAUUGAUGCUUUCCCAAACUUGUUAUUCUUUAUGCGCUUUUUGUUUCCCAAUCUCCAAUUAAUUUCCUAUGCAAUAAAAUAAUUCAAUUAAUUAAAAAUAAUAAAUAAAAUUAACUAGCAAUUAUAAUAUAAAGGGUAAAAUAUGUAUAUAAAUUAUGCUCAUCAGCUAUAGAAUUAUUAUUUUAAAAAGAAACAGUUUACACUAAAGCAAUAAUUGACACUGGAGCAAAUAAAUGUAUUAUACAUAAUAGCUUAGUCCCUAAAGAAAAUAGGAAUAAAUUGAGAAGUUUAAUAAAUAUUAGACAAUUUAAUGGAGAAUUAAUGCAAAUAAUAGAAUGUAUAAAUAAUAUACCUAUUAGAAUAACUAGAGAAACACAUAUGUUACCCCAAACAUUUAUUUCUAGCCAGAAAGCAAGACAUAAAUUUGUUUUAGGAUUAAAUUUUUAUAUUAAGAAAUAAUGGUAAUAUACUUAUAACUCCAAAUAGAGUAAAUUUUUUUAAAAAGUCUACAUUCAUUCAACUAAAAUCCGAAACACAUGUUUUACCAUAUGAGCAAAAGUCAAUAAUGGUAGAAAAAUAUAUAGACAUGCAAUUUUUUUAUUUUUUAUUAGAAGAAGAAAACAAAAUAGACCGUACUAAAGUAGAAAUUUUAGAUGAUGAAGAGAUAGAUAAGUACUUAGAAAAUGUCAUAAAUAGAGGGAAAAAAAGAUAGAAUGUUUAAAAUGUGAUAGAUGGCCCGAAGAAAUUAGAAAAAAAAAAAGUAAAAGAGUUAGAAAGAUUAGAUAUAAUAGGUGACAAUCCAAUCAAAAAAAUAAUAAAAAAGAGAUAUAUUAAUUAGAAAUAAUCAGCCCAAACAUAAUAAUAAAAACACAAGAUUUACCUUAUAGUUUAGAAAAUAGAAAUGAAUUCAAAAUGCAUAUAAAUGAAUUAUUAUAAUUAAAAGUAAUAAGAAAUAGCACAAACAAACAUAGAAGUCUAGCAUUUAUAGUAAAUAAUCAUAUUGAACAAAAAUGAGGUAAGAGUAGAAUGCUAAUUAACGAUAAAAGAUUGAAGGAUACUACUUUAGACAAUAGUUAUAAAACACUCAAUAAAGACGAAUUAGUAAGUUGUAUACAAAAUGCUAAAUAAUUUUCUAAAUUUGAUUCUAAAAGUGGUUUUUGACAAAUAUGACUUUCGGAAGAAUCUAUUUAAUGGAUAGUUUUUAGUUGUUCAGAAGGAUAUUUCAAAUGGUUAUCAUUACCAUUUUUGCAUUAGUUCAUAUUUUUCAUUAACAAAAAUAUUUUAAUACUGAAGAUAUAAAGUUAAUACAAAAACUUAAAGGAAUAAUUAAAAAUCUUAAGCCAUUAGCAUUAUUAAUAGACAAUUAUUAUAAAAUUAUAGAAAUUGAUGCUAGUAGUUUAAAAUGACUAGGAAUAUUAAUACAAAACCCUAAUAAAGAUAGCCCAAAAGAGAAAGAAGAAAUAGCAAUUUAUAUUGGUGAAAAAAUUACAAAAAUAAAAAGUAGAAAGUCUAGUGUAGAAUAAUAAAUUCUUUAAAUUAAUUUCAUUUGUAUAUACAAAAUGAUACAUUUACAAUAAGACUAAAUUGUAAUAACAUGAUAAAAUUUUAUAAAAAAUACAAAAGAAAAAAAUUUUAUUAGUAAAAGUGAUAUAUUUCUUAAAAAUAAUAACAGGUAGAGGAUAUAAAGCAAAACUCAUACACAUAAUAGGUAAAUAAAAUAUUUUAGCUUAUAUUCUUUCAAGGUUAACUACUAAAUGAUUAUUUUGUAGGAAUGAAGUGAUAUACGAAUUUCGGUCCAAUAACACUUUGAUAGUUCCCUUCAAGAGCAAAUUUGAGUUUUAGAAGUAAAUUUCAGUUAUUUAACAUCAGCAAUGCGUCUUAGACAAUUUAUGGAGUUGUAAUAACCCACAAGAUAAAUUAAAAGUAACCAAUGCACUAAUGCAUUAUUUUAGAUAGAUUAAUGAUCAUGUAGAAAGUAAUUAUUUUGCAUUUUUUGUAUUAAUUAGAAGUAGACAACCAAGCAUUUACAGACAAUGGAGAGAGGUAGUUGAUCUAAUAAUCAAUUAUCCUAUCCAUAUUAUAGUGGAUUUUAUACAUUUUAUGAAGCAAGAGAAUUUGCUAGACAAAAGAUAGUUAAAUAAUCCUUUAGACAGUGCAUCAGCAUUAUCAUCAUCAACCAUAUAGUUUUGUGUGUGAAGUAAUGACACACAAAAUUAGAAAGCUUAAUAAUACUUGAUAUCACUUAAAUAGUGAAGCAAAUGCAUGUAGAGAGAAAACAAUUGCAUUAGAAAGUGCUAAUGUAAAACUAAUUAGAUAGAAUGUUGUAUUACAAAAUAAAAACCAUAAAUAGCCGCUUGAAGAAUUAUUUAAUAUUACCCCAACAUGGCAACUAAUAAAAAUUUAAAAAAUUUCUUUCUUAAUCGAUGAUGGUAUAGACAUUGUAAAAGAAAAAAAUAGUAGGAGUCCUAUACCAAUACCUUGUUUCAGUAACCAACCAAAUAUUUUCUAGCAAAGAUGAAUCUCUUAAUUGAGUUUGGACCAGGAUGGUAAGAAUUAAGAAAUAUUACCCCUCUUAGACAUGAUUUUUCUUCAAUUUCCUUUGAUUAUUCUUUAACUGAAAUGCUAGACAAUGAAGAUUUUUUUUUUAAAGCCCUUGGUUUUUUAAUGAUACGUAUUAUUUAUAUUUUCAACUUAGAAGAUUUAAAUUCUUUCCACCAAUUUUAAACAAAAGUCUAUCUAUCAUAAAACUAGUAGUCUUAAUCAUAAACUUAAUCUCUUUGCCACUUAGACCCCAAAUAAUUAAUAAAAAGAAAACAUGUGUCAUAUUGCCAACGUAUCAUGUCAUUUUUAUAAACGAAUGAACCAAAUAGUUUAGAAAAAGACAUUAUCAUGAUAAGCCCAACUUCUUUGCAAAUGGACAUAUACAGAAGAUAGCUUUCUAUAAAUGGGUUGAGCCUAAUAAUGAUAAAAUCAUAGCCCAAGCACAAAACUAUAGUAUUCUAGCUCAAAGACAUCUUGUUCAUGAAAAUCACCUUAUUCCUUCACUACAGCUAAAAGUUGACGAUCUAGAAAAAUGUGGAGAAUAUCCAAAACCGCUAAUUGAGAUCAAUGACAAGCAAUCAUUAGGAAGUGAAUUUGAAGCUAUAAGUCAUCGGUCUUUGGAUGAAGGCAUAGCAGUAGCUAUUGAUGAAAUGAUAUAUAGAUAAAAGACACCAUUAACCAGCUAGCAGUAGUCAAAAUGUCUUUAUUACUGUCAUGUUUUUACAUAUGUUCUUCUUUUACUCACUACCUGAAAAAAGAAAAACUGUGAAAGCCUCUUUUUCAUUUUAUCAUUUUAUUACCGACCUUGAGUCAUCAUAAAGUAACAGUAGCCGGUCAAUACUUUUACUACUUAAUUUUUAGCCAAUCUUUGGCAAACUACCACCUGUAAAGUGUAAUCUCAAAAUUUUAUCUCUUGUAUGUCAAGGCAUUGAUUGUAAAAUAAUUGUUACAAGUCUUCAAUUGUAUAUAUAGACCUCUUGGAUCAUUGAGAGUGUAGAGUUUUAUAGAGACUUGUAGAUAAUUUAGAGUCAAGAGAGUCUUGUAUUCAAGAAAAGCAAUAAAAUGUUUCUUUAUUCAUAAACACUUAACAAUCUUUUAGACAUCAAUUAGCAAGCUUUUAUCAAGUAAGUAAAUUUAAUUUCUUUAGUUUUAUUUACUUAUUUAUUUUUCGGGGUUAGAAGUAUCGUCUAGUUAACAAAAGUAUAAAUUAUAUUUAAAGUAUUAACAAAAUGCAGACCUUGUUAUUAUUUAAGGGAAAAGAGUAUGUAGAAGGUUUUUGAAAAAUAUUUUUUUUUACAGAAUAUAAAAACUUAAUAAGAGUUUCUACUGAAUUUCUGAAAAUUUCUUUUUAAACACGGUCUGCGUUGCCCUGUUUAGCCCUUGAUGUGUUAAAAAUGCAUUUUUGGCUGUGAGCCUAGGAGCUUUAAAAUAUUUUUUACUAGUAGGUUUUCAGAACUAGUUUUAUUUAACUUUGAAAUGCCAAUUUUUGCCAAGACAACUUCUAAAGUUCUCAUAAACUUUUUAGAAAUUUAUUGUACAUAAGUGGGAAAACGGUCACAUAUAUUCUAUGGUUAACCCAAAUGGGAACUAUAUCAGUCUAUAUUGUCGGCUUCUUAUACCGACAAUAGAUGAUGACAUACACAACCAAUUAGAAAUUUUUAUUUCUAAUUGAUUUACUUUUUUAUUUUCCAGGCAAUGGGGUUUAAUGUGUCAUUUUCUACCACAUAAAAAAUAUUUACAAGUUCUAUUUUGUUUAUAGAUUCUUUUACCUUUUUUAAAGUUUUUUUAACUUUUUGUUUAUUAUCUUUAUGCUUAAGGAAUUUUUCUUUAGAUUUUUCUACUAUUAUAUCUGUAGGUUGCUUAUAUUAAGUAUAACUUUUCUUGUGCUCAUUAUAUUUCUUAUGGCUAAAUCGACUAGGGUAAUUACAUCCUAAAGUAGGUACUUCAUGCAUAUACACAUUUUUCUAAACUGUAAUUUUAUUUGAUGUCCAUCAUUUUCUUCUAUCUUUUUCUUCUUCACAAUACUCUUUAAUCCUACCUCUAACAUAUUCUAUUACUGGUAAUAAUAUAGUACAAUAAUUAAUUCUGUGUCCUUUUAGUUAUAAACCAAUUAAUUAAUUCAAUAUGUAAUCUUUCUCCUAUUUUACCUCAUAGUUUAUCUACAAUUUUUAAUAAUAAAUCUUCGUCAAAUGGUCUUCCUAUAUCACGACAAAAUUUAUAAAAUAAUUUGCAUAUUCAUGAAAAUAUCUUAAAUCACAUAUUUUUAAUUGUUCUAAGUUUCUAAUUGCUUUAAUCUAUUUAAUUAUAUUGUCCUUUUCAUCUACUCCUAGUAUUAAUUUACCCAUUAAAUCUAUAACACUGAUUACUGGAAUGUUUGUAUCAAAAUUGUCUAAUUCUUCAACUUUAUUUUUUUCAUCCUAAAUAUAUUAUUAAAAUUUGUAGAUAAAUUAACAAGAAAAAUAGGAGAAAGAUUACAUACUAAAUUAAUUAAUUGGCUUAAAACUUACAAGACACAGGAAAUUAAUUAUUAUGCUACAUUAAUACCAGUAAUAGAAUAUGUUAGAGGUUGGAUUAGUGAGUACUGUGAAGAAGAAAAACAUAGACUAUGCAGACAAAUAACAAGGGACUUCUCGAUCAGAGGCCUAAAAAAAUGCAGACAAAUACAGCAUACUCUAAUAAACUAAUAAAACUAUCUAUAUUAUUAAUAUGUAAAGAGACUGUGAUACAACACACAAACAGAUUCAUCUAUGAACUUGCUAGAGCUCUCUUAUGGAUGAAUUCUUUCUGUGAGCCAAGUUAAGCCCACACUUGGUUUAAUGCUGCCAACAACUUCCACCUCCCUUAACUGUUCUUUUGCAGUAAUAACCAUUGUGUGUAGGAGCUCCGCAGAUGGAGGUUCCUCCAGAACUCCAGCCAUUACAGGGACUAUUUGUUGAACCCUUGUUCGAUGACUGUUUUGAAUGCUGCCAACAAUUUGUAUUUCCCUUUACCGGCCUUCUGCAGUACGAACCAUUAAGCGUCUGAGCUCCACAAACAGCGCUACAGAAGUCCUCUUCAUUGAAUGUACUUAAUUUUGAACCUGCAUCAUACACAUUGGACUUAUCUUCUUCAGCUGACUUGGAUUUGAUUCCUUUAAUCUUCAUCCCUUUGUGCUCCUCGCACCUCACUCUUCCUUUAACAGGUUGCCUGCUGCAGAAAGUCCCAUCGCCUGAUUCCACCCCACAUAUGGUAUCAGAGUUUGGUUUGGUUGUGAACCUCUUAGAAAAUACUUGAGGUUGUACUCUUCCAGACCUAGACAUUUCAGAAGAGUCAGAAUAAUUGC